CCAUCUACAUGUUUUUUAACAAAUUGAAAUUUUAAAAAAAAUUUGUCAUAAUUUUUUUUGACAAUUAAACACCGUUAUAGGGGUACAUUCAUUAUACAUUUCCUUAUUUUAAUUUUUUAAGUCCUUAUACCGUUUCAAUAAUUGAAAUAAUAGUUUACAGACGAUAUUUUUAAGGGGUGUGAUAUCCACACACCCCAUUUUACUUCUCACACACCUUUUUAAUUUUCGACCGUCGGAUCAGAUGAAUUGAAGAAGAUCAACGGACAAUAAUUAUUAAAGGUGUGUGAGAAGUAAAAUAUGGUGUGUGGAUAGCACACCCCUAUUUUUAACUGUUACCAAUGAAGGUAAUAUAAUAUUUGCUAAGUAUUCUUGGGUUAUGAAAACUGUUUAGAAGACAGUAUUUUUGAGUUAUUUAACCCAUAGUGCAAAGUAUUAACAUAAUAUAUAUAAUGAGCUACAUUAUUUUAUAAUUAGCUAUAUAAACCAUGCACUAUAGUCAAUAGCAUCAGAGGUGCAAUUUGGGCUGAGCCAACCCGAACCCGCCCAUGUCUAACCUGACUUUAAACUCGAAUAAGCGAAUUUUGUUGUUGUUAUAACCCGCCUGAACCCAACCCGAUUUCAACCCGUUCAUUGAUUGGGUUGGAUUGGGUUGAUCAUUUGUCCAUCCCAACCCAAUCCAAUUAACCAAACCCUAUUAGGUUGAGCUGUGCAACAUACUUCUCAAUAACCUUUGCACCUUUGCACCUUUGCACCUUUGCACCUUUGCACUUUCAUGAGAACCUACUGAUAUGAUAUACAAUUUGACUUGAAAGGAAUCAUAUUAAGUUUAUUUUGCUUUUCACAUCACAUCCUGUAGAACAACUUCCUUUAUUAAAUUAAUAUUGCAACUAUUCGACCUCUCUUUGAGAUCUGCUUCACAGUUUGAGUUGUGAUUGUUUCUUAUGCUGAUUCAGACGAAGUAGGCUAUUGAGCAAGUAAAUUUGAGGGAAAGUGAUUUUAAGGUCAGUUGUUUGCUAAUACAAAUAGGUUGACAUCAUUGUUGAAAAACAUUAAACACUACUUGAAAAAGUUAGGCAACCCAAACUCAACCCAAGUAAAUCCAAACCCGAUUAAACCCGAGCCCGACUAAACCCGAUUAAAACCCAAUCCGAACCCGAACCCGAAUUGUAAAAGUUGGGUUAGGAUUUGGUUGAUUUUCCAACUCGCCCGAGUUGCACCCCUAAAUAGCAUUGAUCUAAGUUUUGUCCUAUAGAGAACAUGGUUUGUGUUAAUUUUACAUAUAUAAAAUAAAUGGGUAAACGGUUACCUGUUUAUAACCGUUAUUUAUACCUAUAACCGUUUAUUUAUCUAAAUAGUUACCUAUAACCAUAACCGUAAAGUUUAAAUAAGUGGGUAACUGCGAUUACAAGGUAUUUUACCCAUAUUCCCAUGUCAGAAAGUAAAGCAUUGCCGUAUAAUUUAAAUUAUCUUAGAUCAGUUGAUUUUAGACCGAAUGUUCACAUUCUAAAAUUUCUAAUAACGUCUGCGUUGGUUGUGAUAUGAGUUCUGCACCUCCGAUAUUGUAAAGCAUUAAAUAAAGGCCCAAUUACAAAUUCAUAAUUUUGGCCCAUGGUUUUUGGGCCCAGAGUAAGGUUGCGUAAUUUCCAGGGUCAAGUUUUAAAUUUGAUGCUUAAAUAGCAAGCCCAACCUUUUGCAAUCUCUUACAUGGGCAUUUUCCAGUCUUUACUUUUCAUUUUCAUUUUUACUUUGGAAUUCUAAUCCUGUAUAACAGUACAUGUGGAAAAUCUAUAUCUUUUUUUCUUUUUCUGCAUAUUCCUGUUUAGUUUUGUUAUUUGAUUUUCUAAUACUUUAUUUCAUUCAAAGGUUAGAAAUGAGCAAGAUUUGUGUGUGGGAGAAAAAAGUGUGUGCGACAAUCAUUUCUCAUUUCAUUUUUUAUCGAGGAGAUAAGAGAUUCAAACUUAAAAUCUCUUCUAACAUUGAGAAGUAUCACUAUUGUACUAACGACUAGUUGGUAAUCUUGCACAUGUGUUCAAAACCAAAAAAUUUCUAUUUUGUAUAAUGAGAUGCAAAAUUUAGAUUGCAACGAAGUUCUUCUUUUUAUGCAUGUGAGAGUGAAAUUGCAAUAAAUCGAACAACUUCAAUUACAUAUAUAAGAGUUUCUUUUCUUGUUUGUUAGAAAAUUUUGUGCAGAACGGUUUCAUAUUACAUAUGUAUCUUUUUACUUUUUAUCACGUAUCUUGUCAGGUGACUUCGCAAUGAGAGAUAGAAACACGUCAAGAUACAACGAUUGUUCCAAGAAAGUUUUCUAGUGGUAUGAGAAAGUUAACGAAAAGGGUUGGGACUUGGGAGGCGUUACGUCGUUAUCUGUAACGGUCUUAACAUGGAGCCAAGAUGGGAUGGUAGGGUUUUCGUGUGCAUGAAGGAUGCAGAUGACCUGAUCUGCCUUUCCCUUUGUGCUUGUGACCUCCUGCAAUUUCCAUAUCGACAAAACUUUUGCCCCUUGAUGGAAAUAUCCAACUUUGUGGGGGCCACCAGUCCAAUCCAUGCAUGGAUCCGGCCCGUUCAAUUUUCAUCGCCAGAAUUCAGUUGAUCACCUUGAUAUCAUGACCUAAUUCAAUCAUCAUUUGGAAGACUUUUUUGUCAAAUAAAACGAAAUAAUUGAUUAAUAUGAUUACAAGAUUAAUUCUUCAUUUUCAACAAUAUUGUAGGAUUUAUUUACUAGAGUGAUAGAAGAUUUGAACUUGAAUCCAGACCGCUUUAAAAACUCGUAAAAAAAUAGUAUCAAUGACCAUUUCCUCCUGUUUUGGAGGCAAAUUUGGUCCACUGUUUUUGUGCAUGAAUAAUGGUUGCCUUUAGUAUUAUUUGCUACUUUUUCUUCAGUAAAACAAUAAUACUGUCACUUUCUAUGAUGCCCAUUUCACACUAGCAUGCCCUGGAAGAACUAAAUAUCUUUUGUCAACAAAAAUCUUCCAUAGGUUGUUCCAAUCCAAGCUAGCCUUGGGUUGUCAUGAUGAUUUUGGUUUUAAUACAAAGUAAAUGGUAUAUAUCAACCGACCAACUGUAUAAGUUACUGUCAGUCGUUAAUAUAUGAACGUUGGUUCAUAUAAAUCUCAUAGGUUCCAUUUGGUGUACGAAAUGAAAGGUUGUGAGUAACAGUUAUAUCCUUAAAGAAAAUAUUGACAAAUUAUGUAAUGUACCCAUCCUGCAGUCCUCAUGUUGGCCAUAACCCUACCCAUGUGCAAAUACAAGUGAACAUAUAUCUCUUUUAAUGUAAUCAAAAUUAAAUUGAAACUUAAAACUUAAAUAAGAUUAGGGUUUUGAAUAUUCUAACGUGCAUGGGUUUGGUGACAUAGCAGGUUUAUUCGGUCCCUCGUACACUAGCAAAAGAGCUUGAAAUUAAUUAAUAUAAUUUUAAUUAAAUUAAAUAAUAAUGAUUAAGCUGAGUAAGAAGGAAGAAAGAUCUCCUAAUUAAUCAUCUCCCAAUUGGAUGCAUGACAGUAGCAUUUGGCCCACGUUCCGGAGUAGGCUCCAUCCUCCAUAACAUGCACAUGAGCUGCCAACCAUUUGGUCUCUCUGGGACCGCAUCAUAUUCAUCUGCAGUUAUUUGGAUUCUCAUACGAUCGACACAGAGAGAGAGAGAGAGAGAGAGAGAGAGAGAGAGAGAGAGAGAGGUUUGCAUUGUGAUGAGUGUGAACCCAUGAGACGUUGCAUAGUAUUAUCUUCUGCUACUAUCCCUCCCCAUUGGUUCUGCAAACCCAACACCAACCAAGAUAAGCGUUAGGCUAGUCGGUCGCCUUACCGCUUCUGGUGACGGUAUACUGUUGAUGUAUGUAUAAAUAAUGAACGACUGAGUUUAGUAUUCAUCUAUCUCUUUUGAAAUACCAAACGUACAAUAUGUGACAUUUGUGUAACAAAAGCCGUCUCCUUAUUCUUAUACUUCCAACACCUAGAGUAGUACGUAGCAGUGGUAGUCUUAUCGCACUUACUGACCUUUUUGUUUCAAUUGAUUCUCUCGAUUGAUAAGUGGCCGGUGUUUGGUCCUAAAUAGAAAUUAGGUUAAAUUAUAAACAUAAUCUUUUUCACAAAUGUAUGUUUUACAAUAAGGUAGAAUAAUUAUGUUGACAAAAUUGAAGGUUUCAAUGUACGAUAGAUUAAUUGGAAUGUAGAUGAUUCUCAGUUGUUGAGGCAUUCACUUUAUUUGGUGCGGAUGUAUAAUUGAUGGACAGUCGUUCAUGCACGUGUGUUUGUAUGAAGAUAUGUAAAGCAACCCUCUAGAUAUGAAUAGACAUAAGGUCUUUGUAAGUUGGGCUACUACUAUAUAGCGAAUUAAUUUUAUGUUGAAACCUCAGCUUUAUUCAUGAUAUCAAAGUAGGGUGUUUCAUGUGUGAAGCCCAACGGCUACACGUGCUUCACAUCACUCAUUUUAUUUUGUCCAUGUGCUAAGCUUAAAAAUUCGUCACGUGAUGAGACGUGUUGGAGUAUUAAUCCUACAUCGAAAAGAAGGAAACUUGCAUUGACAAAUAAGAUACGCUAAUACCCAUAUUAUCAAUUAAUUUUAUAAAUUUUAUAGUAAAACCCAAACAUUUUUCAUAAUUUUCUUUGGAGUUAACUAAAGCCAGAAGUUUGUGGUGUUGUUAACUCACUACCUAGGAGUGGACAUUUUAACCGGUAAAUCGGGUCGAGAAAACCAAAAGAAUCGGGUUUGACAUUGUCACAUUCUUGUUGCAUUUUUUCCCAAAUACCGAAUGUAAUGUGCCAUUCUUGUUACGGACAAGGAUUGUCUGCCCUCCUAGUUGUGGUGCCCUUCUAUGCCCUCCUAUUUUGUGCGGUCACGGUUAAGCCACGUCAACAUUUUAUAUUAAUUUUUUAAUGAGAUAAUAAGACAAAAAACAAUAAAAAUAUAAAAUAUUAACGUGGCUUAACCGUGACCGCACAAAAUAGGAGGGCAUGGAAGGGCACCACAACUAGGAGGGCACCUUGUCCUUCUUGUUACAAAAGCCUCUUUAUUCUUAUCCAAUAGAAGUAGUACGUAGUCUUAUCUCACCUAAUGGUCUUUUCUGUCAAUUGAUUCUCUCAGUUUAUAUAUAAGCUUUGUUUGUUUCAAAAUACAAAUUAGCUAAAUCAUAAACGUAAUGUGUUUCUGUUUGGAUCUUACUGUACACCAUUGAUCUGUUUAAUUGAGGCUGUUGAAUUUUAAUAUUUUUCUUAAAUAUUACUAUUGCUGAUUCGAAUUCAAUAGAGAAAACCAGGCAUUAUCCAUUGCUGGUUGUUUGUUGGAGAUCCAUUUGUUGAUAAAGACUUACUCAAGUGAUGGCAAGGAUUUUCCAACUUGGCUUGAGUAAAGAAAAGAUAAAAGAAGGUACCAUCCAUUUGUGAUAUUAUCCCUUUGGCCAAUUUGAUAAUUUAUUCUUUUUGGCCAAUUUGAUAGUAUUUCCUAAUAGAAUGCUCAGUGUUCAUUAAGAUAAAGAUGGCCAUCAAAAGGCCUUUGGUAGCCACGGUAUGGACUUUACAACACGUUCAAGCGUAUUAGUCCUAUAAAUACAUAAAACCGUGUAAUGAGAAGGCAACCUUCAACUUAACAUACAAAUAUGCCUUGCACAAAUCUCGCUCUAGGCGAACACUUCUCACACUCAGAGAACUAACUAACUCACAUUUUGAGAAAUCACUAACUCUCCACUUUCCUAACUACUUAAAGCUCGAUUGAUUAUCUAUCCAAGUCUCAGCUGACGAGGAGUCCUUGAUUCUUUAAUUGAACGAGGUCACUUUACUAGCUUUCCAACCAAAUUAAGUGUUUUAUGCUUGGUUACUUCUGGUACAUUUUAGAGUUCGGUAUUCUGACGGUUGAACAACAUUUACCAUCAAGACAUUUAUCUCUUUCGAGUACGAGUAUCCUUACAGUUUAACUCCGAACUGAUCAGAGCACUUAUAUUUUCACAAAUAUAGUCGAGGCGGCCGAACCUGGUGCAAAAGAUCAUGAACUUCACAGUGACUAACAACCUUUUUGACAUCACCACCACAUUCAUUCUACUAACCGACCGAGUUCGAUGGCAAGUUAGCACGACCGCAUUCAUCAUAAUGACGUAGUUAGCUUUUUGUUAUUCAGUCUACGUGUAAGUAAACUUGAUAGUUUUUAAGGUCAACAAUUUCACAAAUUGUGCUUUACAUUCUAACAAGUUUUACGAUCUCAACUUAUACUAGACGAAGGCGGACGAUCGAUUGUUAGUUGUUGCUGCGAGUUUCAUUGUGAUUGCGGAUGUAUAAUUGACAUACAAUCGUAACGUGUGUUUGUGGGCAAAGCAACUCUCUAGACAUCAAAAGAUAAGGUCUUUAGUUUUAUUCAGAAUUUGAGGUGUCUAUAUAAGUCACAAAAACCAAGAAACCUCUCGAACUCGUACCUUGGAUGCAGUGGAUGGGUUCCUAUCACAUGGUUGUCGCCAAAGGCAACAGAAGAGUACUCGCUAUAAUACUAAAUUAACAUGGUCCACUAGACGGUGGCUUUCCACCCUUUUUGUCGAUCGUGAGAGUAUGAUUUGGCCAAAUGCACUGUUAUUCUCCCAAAGUCGAGGUCAAUUUAGUAAACUAAUAUAUAGAAGUUUUUAAAAGUCACUAGUCUAGUAGCGGGUAGAGGCCUGUCGCUUAGGGGGGCCUAGGUAAUUUUUUAUUUUUAAUUAAUUUUUUAUAUAAUAUAUAGAUAAAUAUCUACUUAUAUUUUUUUUAAAAUAUAACUGUAUUGAGAUACAUUAAUUAGAAAAUGGAACUAUAUAUAAAUUAUAAAGUAUUAGAAUUGAAAACAUGGGGAAUAAACAUAUAAUGAGUGUUCAUCUCAAUAUUUAACAAGUUUUUUACAAUUUAUUGAAAAAAUAAAAUGUAAAAUGAAAGUUAUCUAUUUUCUAUCUAAAUGAGAGUUACGAUCUAGACGAGCGCCUACGCAGAUCUAGACGCUCUUUCUUAGUUUUCAAACGUCUAGUGAUCAAUCAAAGCGAUGACUACCUGCUUAGCGCCUAGGCAGGCUUAAGCGAAGCUAGGCGGUAAUUUUUAAAAGAAUGUGAUAUAUAGUUAGUAAUGAUAGCUACAAGGAAGAAAGAAACAACCCCACUGUACGAAACCAAAAACACUAAGCUACGAUGUGUUCUUAUCAUCUUAAGUUGUCCUACGAAUAAGUUAUGAAACCUAAUAUUAUGUUGUUGACCUAACCAAGUAGCUAGUAGCUAGUAUCGUUCACAUCAUCACUCCUAAAGUAACUUGAGGUAAAUUAGUUGCAAGAUAGCUAGAAUACAGAUCCGUCAAGGGACAUUUUUGUAAGACACAUUUUUAUUGAAAGCGCUACAAAUUUUUAUCGAAAAUUCAAGUACAUCUUGUUGGAGCAUAACGUGGUAUUGUUUGCAUACAUCAUGUAAAACUUUUACAUGUUAGGAUUUAACAAAGCAAGUAUUUUACGUUUUCAUCUCUCACACUUCAUUGUGAUCGAAACUCAAAAGAAAGAUGAUAAUAAGGUCAACUAGUACCCUAAUGAAUAUGAUUUUUAAUUUUCCGUGUAUUGCAUUACGGUUAAAAUGCAAGAUUUUUCCAAUAUUAAACUAUCAUAAGUAGUGUGUGAUGUCAGAGAUAUUACGAGACGAAGAACUUGCUGGUUCUAGUAUGAAAAUUGUUUUUGAAAUUUUGAUUUAAAAUGAUUCAGUCUUCAUAGGUGUCGGCGGGUUGGAUUGGUUUUUAGCUUAAAAGACCAUUUCUGUCCAUUAAUGUUGGUAGUCAGUUGAAUCAAUUAUUUUUUCUACGUGUUUAAUCUUAAACAAAAUUAAAAAAACGGUUUGUUUGGGGAAGGCUGUUAUUUAUUUUUAUUAAUUUUGAAAAAGUCGCGGUAAAAUCCCGGACAACUGUCAGCAGCUGGAGUCACUGUCAGUCGCGCUUGCACGCCGCCGUAGCUUAUUAAACUCCGGUCACUCACUUCCGCUCGUCUUCCGCCGGAAACGCCCUUUUUUUUUUGCUCGAUCAAUAAAAAUUAAAGUUAAAAAAAAAAGAAAAGAAGAAGAACGUUUCUGAAUUACCAAUCAGCUCUUCAACUUCCAUUGGCCACAGCAGUACAGAGCACUGUGUCUCUCUACUUUCUCUCUCUACACACUCUCUCGUAUACUUUCUCUCUCUAUACAGAGAGAAACACAGCACGAGAGCUCUCUGUUGGUAUUUUUUACGGACGUACACGCGGUUGUGUAGGCGUAGAUUCCUUUGCCCCCACUGCGUCAUAUAAUUUUAUCAAUAAAUAAAUGCCAAAAAGCUCUCUCUCUCCCCGCUGAAACCGCAUUUAUACACAGAGAGAGGGCCUAUUCCUAACGUUUUCCUCAUUUUUAUGUGCUGCUUUGGUUUGCCUAUAUUCACUCCUCCUCCGGGGAUCUCAGCCGUCCUCCGCCGCUCUUGCGAGAAUUCACCGGCUCAGCUGUCACCGGCAAGUUUCUCUCUUUGCUUUGGUAUUUAUUUCUGCUGAAAUUUUAAGCUGUUUUUUGUUUGUAAAGUUGGAAACUUUGCUGUGAUGGAAUUGAUGGGUUUUGAGUAUGUUGAUUUUGUGCGGAUUUUGAGGGCAUAAGUGGGUAAUUUGUGGAUUUUGGGCAGAUGGGCAGAUGGGCAGCUGUUGUUUUAGCCCAGUGCAUACGUGGUCUACAGUGUACUGCUUUUGGAUUUCUGGGGAACCUAUAGAGAAUAAUUGCCAGAAAGAUAUGGUCUUGUAGUGUAAACUUAUUGAUUUCUGGGUGAAAUCGAAGGUUUCAUAUCUGGGUUUGUUUUAAUUCGUUGAAUUGGGGAUUUAUAUCUCGUGGAAUUGGACUAUUGGCGUUAUAAAAUUCUGGAGUUUUUGUGGAAUUUGGAUUUAUGGAGGCUUUUGGAGGCAGAGCUCGGAAUUUCUAUGGUACGAUGGUGCCGGAUUUGAAGGGGGCUGGGAAAAAGAGUUUGGAAUGGGAUUUGAAUGAUUGGAAAUGGGAUGGUGAUCUUUUUACCGCUAGUCCUUUGAAUGCUGUACCAUCUGAUUGUAGGAGCAGGCAGUUGUUUCCGCUUGGGCUGCCGGAAACUCCCUCCACUGCUGGUUUGUCCAACAGUUCUUCUUCUGGUUCGGACGGUAUCUGUCCAGGGAAUGAGAAAGGUAAAAGAGAGCUGGAGAAAAGAAGAAGGGCUAGUUUUGUAGAAAAUGAAGGGCUAACUGAUGAAGUUGGGUCUCUUAAUCUCAAGCUUGGCGGGCAAGCUUACCCAAUCAUGGAAGGAGAGGUACAACAUGGGAAGAAGACGAAGAUAGUUGGGACUACUUUAAACCGAGCAGUUUGUCAGGUGGAGGACUGUAAGGCUGAUCUUAGCAAUGCCAAGGAUUACCACCGACGACAUAAGGUCUGUGAUAUGCAUUCUAAGGCAACUAAAGCGGUGGUGGGAAAUGUUUUGCAGCGGUUCUGUCAGCAGUGUAGCAGGUUAGUUCAAUUCUAUGGUUGUCCUUGUAUGGUGAGAAAUAUUUCAAAUUUUCUUCAGUUAAGUUCUACGUCGUUUAUUCGGUGCUUUCUUAUAGACAUUGUUUCUAGAAGAUGAAAUACAGAGUUUGAUUUGUAAGUUUUAAAAAAAUUAUUUGUUGCUCUCAUGAUUUGGGUCCAUAGUUGUUCAUCACUGUGUUUGGUAUAGUCGAAUUUUGAAGAACUUUUUUGUUGAAUUUGGAAUGUGGUUAUACUUAUGGGCAGGUUUCAUGGCCUUCAAGAGUUUGAUGAAGGAAAGAGAAGUUGUCGUAGACGUUUGGCAGGCCACAAUAGGAGGAGAAGAAAAACACAUCCUGAUACUGUAGUUAAUGGAGGCUCAUUGAAUGAUGAAAGAGGAAGCAGUUAUCUAUUGAUUAGUUUGCUGAGAAUACUCUCCAACAUGCACUGUAAAUCUUUGUGUUAUUGCACAUUCAAUUUUUGGCUGCUUUGCCUGACAUUAAAUUGAUAUGCUAAGUGUAUGUUAAGUGGUUACCGGAUUGUGUGUUGAUUGCCAUAGACUGAUGUCAAAGUUCUUGUGGUCUUUUGCUCUUAGGUUUUGUCAUUAUUUGAUUGAGGCUUGUAGCAAAAUGAUUAUGUCAAUUAACAUUUAAUAACUCCACUCAUAAAUUUUUAUUUGUAAACAUACAACAUAUUACUUGAUGAGUCCUUAACUGCUUAAGGUGCUCUAUUUUUGUGUAUAAAUGACAAAGUGCUAGUUUCUCUGAAUUUAAUUUGAUGAAAAUUUGAAUAUUGAUGCUUACGCAUGAAAAGUUUUCAGUUUUUCAGAGGUUGAUUUGAUAGAAAGUUAGAAUUUUGUGCAGACCUUCAUGUCGAAAAAUAUUUCAAUUUUUAUAAUCCAGAUUACACCUUGUGUGCUUGAAUUUCAUCCCUUGAACCCUUGUUUUUUGCACUUUCUUUCUCUGAUUGUUGGACUGUCCAUAUUUCACAUUCUAGGAUGCAUGAAGGAAGGGCCUAUUAAAGGGAAUUCUAAUUAGGAAUUGUUAUUUAGGAAAUUAUGUCUCAGUGAUCAUGUUAUUAUAAUAUUUAUUUGAUUAUGUUUGUGUUUGUUUUUCUUCUCAUAAGUGUCUUACUCAACUCCACUUUUGAUGCCUAAAAUGCAGCUAAUAGUUCAGAUCAAACAAAGGAUCAGGAUUUGCUAUCUCAUCUUUUGAAGAAUCUAGCCAAUCUUUCUGGUACAGUUGAUGGAAGAAACAUGUCUGCAUUGCUUACGGCAUCUCAAGGUUUAAUAAAUGGCGGGGCAUCAAUUCAGACUGCACAAAAGGUCCCAGAUACAGUUUCCAACGGCUGUGAACCAAGUAAGCCUUCUGUUUCAGCCUCUAAAAUGGAUGAUUAUAUUAAUGGUGAGGACCCUUCAAGACCUAUACGACAGUGUUCUACGGUACCUGCAUCAGAUUUCAGGAGAAUAUCUUCAGUUGAUGCAGAUCAUGGAGGUCUACAAGUUGUUUCAGGUCUAAAUGCCACGAAGCCAUUUCCUUCAAGAGACAGUGUUCCAUCCACAUCAGUUGCACCAGAAGCUACAAUGGGGAGGAUGCAGUUAAAUGGCAUUGAUUUAAAUAAUACAUAUGACGAUUCCCAGGACUAUUUGGACAACCUAGGGAAUUCGCAUGCCCCUGUAAAUUCAGGGACAGUGGCUCAUGGUUUUCCCUUUUGGAUGCGUCAGGAUUCGCAAAAGUCUAGCCCACCUCAGACAAGUGGGACUUCAUGCUCAACUUCAUCAAGUUCUAGUGGAGAUGCUCAGGUAUAUUCUUGUUGUACUUGCAUCUCGUUCCUCGUUAUUGCUUGGUAUAUUAAUGCUUGUAUAUGCCAUAACCUGUCCUUUUCUGUUGGAUAAAAGAAUAGCUUUGUUCUCACUUUAAUUUGGCAUUUAGGUGACAAUGCUUUGCAUUCGACUUGUCCGUUUGUCUAGCCAAUUGAUUGAAAAAACAUGAAGUACUCGGCAUACCUAAUAAAUACUUCUGUUGUGACGUAAGAGUCAAGAUGGAUUCUCUUCUUUUGUAUAGUGCUUUGUAUGUAUAAAUGUGUGCGUAUGCUUCUGCUUGAUAAGGUUUAUAGAGUUGUAGUUAAACUACAGGAGGUUGCAGGCUAUAUCAGUUAGAGUUGAGUAUUUUUUAAAUAUUUUUUAUUAUGAAGGCCAGUGUGUAAAAUGUUACUGCACUGUUACGUCUCUUAACCACUCUUUUUCUGCCGUGUUUCAGAGUCGCACAGACCGUAUUGUUUUUAAACUCUUUGGAAAAGAUCCAAAUGAUCUUCCAUUUGUUCUACGAGCACAGGUAAUAUUUGGUGCCUUGAUUUAAUUCUUCACAAUGUAACUUGUGUUUCCUUGCACAUACAACAAUUUUAUGAAAUAUUUUGAAUAUCCAGAUUCUCAACUGGUUGUCCCACAGUCCUACUGACAUUGAAAGCUACAUAAGGCCGGGAUGUAUCAUUUUGACAGUUUACCUCCGUCUAGAAAAAUCCACGUGGGAGGAGGUAUGUUUCUGUGCUGAUGCCAAAAUGUUGAUUGCUGACCUUGUAUCAGGGAGAUCUCUUUUCUUGUCCUUAAUUGUUAUGUUUGCCUGCAGCUCUGCUGUAAUCUGGGAUCCAUUAUAAAACAACUUUUACAUGCUGCCAAUGAUCCUUUUUGGACAACAGGAUGGGUGUAUACUAGGGUGCAACAUUCUGUAGCAUUUACGUACAAUGGUUUGUUCUCUCUCUCUCUCUCUCUCUCUCUCUCUCUCUCUCUCUCUCUCUCUCUCUCUCUCUCUUAAUUAUUCAUUCAUAUAUUUUCUAGCUCAUUUAGUGAUUUACCAAUAGUUGUGUUAUGAAAGAAAAGACAUUUUAAAUAGUUAUGUCUGUACUGCAGGUCAAGUUGUCUUAGACACACCCUUACCUCUGAAAAGCCAUAAAAAUUGCAAGAUAUCAUGCAUCAAACCAAUUGCAGUUUCUUUAUCCGAAAGAGCUGAAUUUGUAGUAAAGGGGUUUAAUCUUUCUCGUGCCACCACAAGGUAUCCUUAUCUUUCAUUCAAGCUUCAUUAUGUAGACCACUCCAGUGUCAUAUGUUAUUUCUGAAUUAGUAACUAUCAGGAUAACUGGGAAGGAGGAAAGUACUAAGUCCUAGCUUGUGACAGGUUGCUCUGUGCUCUGGAAGGGAAGUAUCUAGUCCAAGAAACUUGUUAUGACUUGAUGGAUGGUGCUGAUACAACCUUUGCGAAUGAUCAGCUACAGUGCCUCAGAUUCUCCUGCUCUAUACCCAAUGUUACUGGCCGAGGACUCAUUGAGGUGCUGUUCCAUUCUUAAUAUAUGUUUUAUAUUUCCUUUGAAGUGUGCUUAUCAUUACUUAUUUAUUUAUUUUUAUUUCAGGUUGAAGACCAUGGUCUCAGCGGCUGCUUCUUUCCAUUUAUAGUUGCCGAGCAGGAAGUAUGUUCAGAGAUUUGUACCCUGGAGGGUGCGAUUGAGGUGGCUGAGACUGCAGAUAACAUCCAGACAGAACCUGAAAAGUUGGAAGCCAAGAACCAAGCGUUGGACUUUGUACAUGAAUUGGGUUGGCUCCUUCACAGAUGUCACACUAAAUUUAGACUUGGUCACGGGGAUCCCAACUUAGAACUAUUUUCUUUUAGACGGUUCAGGUUGCUUAUGGAGUUUUCCAUGGACCGUGAUUGGUGUGCUGUAGUGAAGAAACUCCUGGGCAUUCUGCUUGAGGGUACCGUUGACACUGGAGAACAUCCUUCUAUUGAGCUUGCGUUAUUGGAUAUGAGCCUCCUCCACGGAGCCGUGCAAAGAAAGUGCAGGCCUAUGGUGGAACUCUUGUUAAGAUUUGUCCUAGACAAAGGGUGGCAACAAGUUGACGGGGACGGCAGCAACUUCUUAUUUAAACCCGAUGCAGUUGGGCCCAUGGGAUUGACUCCUCUUCAUGUUGCAGCCAGUACUGAUGGAUGUGAGAAUAUAUUGGAUGCCUUAACUGAUGAUCCUGGAAAGGUAAUUUCUCAUUGUCUUCUUUGACAGUUUUCUUUCUAAUUGGAUGUAAAAAUCAGAACAGGUCUGCAUCAUUAUCCAUUUUUCUCCGUACGUGUUUGACCGUUUGCUCAUACAAAUGACUCAUGUCAGCUCAUUCUGUGUCUCACAUGAAUGUUGAUAUUUCAAAUCGUUGUAUUUUCAAGCAUACAAAUGUUGAUAUCUUUGCUUCUUUAGGUGGGAAUUGAAGCGUGGAAAAAUGCUCGAGACAGUACAGGAUUGACACCAAAUGAUUAUGCAUGCCUGCGAGGCCGCUACACCUAUGUCCAAAUUGUCCAGCGGAAAAUCAACAAGAAACAUGAAAGCGGGCACGUGGUGCUUGAUAUCCCUGGCGUUAUCUUAGACAGCAGCAGCAAGCAGAAACAAUUAGAUGGGCAUAAGUCCUCAAAAGUCUCCAUCUUGGAGACCGAAAGGAUCGAUAUGAAAGCAAUGCAGGCACAUUGCAAGCAAUGUGAAAUGAAACUAGCAUAUGGAAACACAAGGUCGUUUGUGUACAGGCCGGCAAUGCUGUCAAUGGUAGCCAUUGCUGCUGUCUGUGUUUGCGUGGCCUUGCUCUUCAAAAGCUCGCCUGAAGUCCUUUAUGUCUUCCAGCCCUUCAGGUGGGAACUCUUGGAGUAUGGACCGAGCUAAGGCAGUUUACGCGUCUCAAAUUUUAGUUACUCUGGCUUUAGGCCGUUUGUGUUAAUCAUAUGUAUAAACGGAUAACUCAAAUUUUAGUUACUCUGGCUUUAGGCUGUUUCUGUUGAUCAUAUGUAUAAACCGAUAACUCUAUAGGGAACAUAAUGUACCAGUUUUCGUAUCCGUUAAGAUUUCCACGAGAGGUGUUGCACUGUAUGUAUUAAUGAUAGUUCAUAUAAAGCGUGUAUAGGGAAAGAUUGACGUAAAUAGUACUAUUGACCAAUUGUUGAGGCAAUAGAUUGCUGCAUUACUUCCAAAAACACAUACAAACAUUGUAUUCGAUGAGGCGGAAGAUUCGGACUUGAAAAUUCUUUCGCUUUUAAGUCAGCUUUCUUAAACAGAAGACAAUAUUUAGUAGGGCGGCCUGACUAAUAAUUUCUUUCGCUUUUAAGUCAGCUUUCUUAAACAGAAGACAAUAUUUAGUAGGGCAGCCUGACUAAUAAGUAGGUUAGACUACUCUUGCUAAAUUUUAUGCAUUGAGAGUUGUAUUUACGUAAGACUGGAUGGUGACCAAAUACAUAGAAUCACGUUCCUUCAUGAGGGGAUAAGGCUGUCUCACAAAGGUUGGAGCUUUGUGCUUACUUAGAUACAUGAAUCUCGUUCUUUCGUGAGUCAACUUUUCAGGUUAUUCAACUCAAAUGUUAUGAAUAAAAUUGGGCCAAAAUUAGAUCAAACAGUUGUUUUUCUCCAAAUAUUUUUAAUUUGGUCAAAUGCAUGAAUCUCGUUCUUUAGUGAGAUAACUUUUCAUGUUAUUCAACUCAAACGUUAUGAAUAAAAUUGGACCAAAAUUAGAUCAAACAGUUGUUUUUCUCUAAAUAUUUUUAAUUUGGUCAAAUCCAAUCCGAGUCUAAUAUUAACUAGCAAAAAAAAAAGCAGAAAAAUGGAUUUUACAGGCUAAUAAAAUAAUAGGAAAAGGACUCCAGUCACAGAGACACGUUGACUCAUAUUUUGACAUGAAAUUGUUUUCCACUUCAACAAGUCAUAUUCAUGGUCCUUACAUAGUGUACACAAUUAUUACCUUGUUUAAUCUUUUUCAAUUAUUUUGUCGUUUUGAACCUUUUUUCUUUGGUUUAAUUGCCAAUAAUUCAAGCAUUAAAUCUUGAUCUCGAAAUGGAACAAUUUUCCGGUGUACUAAGAUCACGUUCACGUAAAAUUACUGGUUCAUUUAAAUUAUAUUACGUAGAUUUGUUAAUAUUAAGUUUAGGUUAAAUCUCACAAUAAUUAGUAAUAAUAUGACGAGAAUUAAACUUGAAAUAUAUCACUUAUAAUAAAAUAAAAUAUCAUUAGUUUAAAUAUUAAAAUGAUACACCUCGUAACUUGUAACGCUGUUAAUUUCUAAUCGAAAUCAAAAGGAGACGCGUCAUUUGAGGCCACCACCUCUCUCCUCUCACUCUCCCCACUGAAACCGAAUUUACACAGUAAGAGAACCCUUUUCCUAACCUUUUCCUAAUUUUCAUGUGCUGAUUAGCUUUGUCUCGGGGCCUAUAUUCUCUCUGCCUCAACUGCGAUCUCAGCCACUUCUUCGUCAGCUCUCAGUUCUCAGCUCAUCUCCCAACAAUUCACCAACCUGCCGGCAAGUUUCUCUCUCUUUACUCUCUCGCUCUCCUCUUUAUUUCCACAAAAAAAGAUUGGGUCUUUCAGUUCUUUCAGCUCAAGUUUCUUUCCAUGGAGUUGAAAGCAUUGACUAGGAUGUAAUUGUGGGCUUGCAAAUACGGUAUUUUGUACUGACUUGUUGAGAGAAAAACUGGGUAAUUGGUGGAUUUUGGGUUCUGGGCAGCUGUAGCCUGUAGUUUAGCUCCAUUUUUAUGCUGGUGUGCUGUUCUUGGUUUUCUGGGGUUCUUGGAAAGAACAAUUUCCAGAAAUUUCUGGGGCUGUGGUGUUAUUGACUUUUUGUUUUGGGGUGAAAUUUAUAGUUUUAUCUCUGAGCUGUAGUUGUUGUUAUUGUUCAAUUGGGUGUUUGUAUCUGGUGGAGUUUGACUAGGGGGCAUUGUAACAUCUCUGGGUUUUUUGUAUCUUGAUCUAUGGAGUCUGAAUUCGGAGGAAAGGCUUGUAAUUUUCGUGGUGUGAUGGUGCCGAAUUUGAAGGGGGUUGGGAAAAAGAGUUUGGAAUGGGAUUUGAAUGAUUUUAAAUGGGAUGGUGAUCUUUUUACUGCUAGUCCAUUAAAUUCUACACCAUCUGAUGGUAGGAGUAGGCAGUUGUUUCCGGCCAGGCCAGAAACUCCGUCGGAUGCUGGUUUGUCCAACAGUUCUUCUUCUGGUUCGGAUAAUAUCAGUCCGGGGAAUGAGAAAGAUCAAAGAGAAUUGGAGAAACGGAGAAGGGAUUUUUUUGUGGAAAACCGAGAGUUGAAUGAUGAAGCUGCGUCUCUGAAUCUUAAACUUGGCGGGCAAACUUACCCCAUUAUGGAAGAAGAAGUACAAACCGGGAAGAAAACAAAGACAAUUGGGACUACUUCAAACCGUGCAGUUUGUCAGGUGGAGGACUGUAAGGCUGAUCUUAGCAAUGCCAAGGAUUAUCACCGGAGGCAUAAGGUCUGUGCUAUGCAUUCUAAGGCAACUAAAGCGCUGGUUGGAAGUGUUAUGCAGCGGUUCUGUCAACAGUGUAGCAGGUUGGUUCCAUCCUAUUGUUAUUUAUUGUUUGGUUGAAACAUUUCCCCGAUUUUCUUGAAUUAACUUGAAAUACAGAGUUUGGUUGUGUAAAUUUUGUUGUCAUGCGUUUGUUGUGCAUGGCUGUUCAUCAAUCUUCUUACGGUAUGGUUGAGUUCUGCAGAAGGUUUUUUUUGUUGAAUUAAAUGUAACAGGGUUAACACUCGUGGACAGGUUUCAUGCUCUUCAAGAGUUUGAUGAAGGGAAGAGAAGUUGCCGUAGGCGUUUGGCUGGCCAUAAUAGGAGGAGAAGAAAAACACAUCCUGAUACUGCAGUUAAUGGAGGCUCUUUAAACAAUGAAGGCGGAAGCGGUUAUCUAUUGAUUAGCUUGCUGAGAAUACUUUCAAAUAUGCACUGUAAGUACUUGCCUUAUUCAUUGUACACUUCUGUCUUAGUGAAACAUUGUAUCUCAGAUUUAUUUGAAUCCGCAUAUUAUGCCAUUUAUAAAUUGCAGCUAGUAGUUCUGAUCAAACAAAGGAUCAGGAUGUCAUAUCUCAUUUGUUGAGGAGCUUAGCCAAUGUUGCUGGUACGGCUGAUGGAAGAAACAUAUCUACAUUGCUGCAGGGAUCUCAAGGUUUAUUUAACAGUGGGACAUCUGUCCAGACUGCACGAAGGGUUCUAGAUAUGAAUGCUGGUGUUAAUACUGAGGACCCUUUAAGGUCUAAAGGACACUGUUCGAUACUACCUGCAUCAAGAGACAGUUCUGAAUCCAAAUCAGUUACACCGGAAGCUACAAGUAGAAGGUUCCAGUUAAAUGAUUGAUUUAAAUAGUACAUAUGAUGAUUCACAGGACUAUGUAGAGAACCUAGGGAAUUCUCAUGUUCCUGCAAGUCCAGGCACUGCAUCUCUUGGUUUUCCUUCAUGGAUGCAGCGUGAUUCUCAUAAAUCAAGCCCACCUCAGACAAGUGGGAAUUCAGACUUAACUUCUACUCAGUCACCGUCAAGUUCUAGUGGAGAAGCUCAGGUAUAUCCUUGUAAUUGCAUCUAUUCCAUAAUUGCUUGGUAAUAUAAUGCUUAAAAAUGCCUUUGUCGUGGAUGAUGCUCAGCCCACUGUAAUUCGUCUUUUUUUUAAUCUUUUUUUCCAUGAGACCAGGGAUUAAUAUAUCAAUUGUCAUUAAUCAUUAUACGGCGUAUAACUUGUCUUUUGUUUGGAUAGUAGAAUACCUUUGUUCUAUCCUUGAGAGUAGUUAGGCAGUCAUGUAUUGUGUUCUGAACGUGUCUGUGUAUCUUUCCAUGGAUUGUCAAAAUAAUGGCGAGGUUAAGUGCGCUCGCUGCUUGGUUAUGGGAUAUAUGUAAGAAAUGCUUCAAUUGUGACUUAAAGUUGAGAUCAGUUAUCUCUUCCUUCAAACCAAUAUGGCAGUUUACAAGCGCAACCACACACACAAACAUACUUGUUGUGUAUACGUCUUCUUGAUGCUGUUAAUAGAAUUGAGGUUAAAGUUACCUGGUGGUUUCUGCAGUCCUAAUGGAACAUGCAUUAUUUAUGUAAAAGGCCAGUAUGUAGAAUGUAUCUGCAAUUUUACGUUUCUUGACUGCUCUUUUUCUGCCACAUAUCAGAGUCACACAGACCGAAUUAUUUUUAAACUAUUUGGAAAAGACCCUAAUGAACUUCCACUUGCUCUGCGAUCACAGGUACUAUAUUUCCUUUGAUUUUUCUAGUUUUCAAAGUACUUUUCAAAGUAUUUUGGUGUUUCAUUCCACGGACUCCAUGAUUUUUAUAAAUUAUUUGAAUAUCCAGAUCCUCGACUGGUUAUCUCACAGCCCUACCAACAUUGAAAGCUACAUAAGGCCGGGCUGUAUCAUUUUGACAAUUUACCUUCGUCUAGAAAAAUCCACGUGGGAGGAGGUAUUCUCGACUGUGGAUGGCAGAUCCUUGUAUGAGGAAGACUUUUUCUUCAAGUCCUUAAUUUUGACAAUUCACCUCUCCCAGACCCUGAUUAAAGCGGGAGCCUUGUGCACUGGGUACGACCUUUUUUUUUAUAAUUAUUUUUGCUUACAGUUCUGUUGUCAUCUGGGAUCCAGUUUGAAAACACUUCUUGAUGCUGCGGAUGAUCCUUUUUGGAGAACAGGAUGGGUGUAUACAAGGGUGCAAGAUUAUGUAGCAUUUACAUACAAUGGUUUGCCUCUCUCUCUCUCUCUCUCUCUCUCUCUCUCUCUCUCCCCCUCUCAUUUCGUGUGUGCGUACACAUUUGUGUAUUUAGGGUCUAUAGAAGAAUCUUGCUGUUUUAGUUUUCCAUUAUGCUUUAUUGAUUUUGGUCAUGCUUUGUUUUGUUAUUUCUAGUACAUAAUGAGGAUUGACCAAAAACAUUAACCUUAUAUGAGAGAAGCAUUUUGAUUAGUUAUGUCCAUCCUGCAGGUGAAGUUGUGUUAGACACACCCUUGCCUCUUAAAAGCAAUAAAAGUUGCAGGAUAUCAUGCAUCAAACCAAUUGCGAUCUCCUUAUCUGAGAGAGCUGAAUUUAUAGUAAAAGGCUUUAACCUUUCUAGUUCCACCACAAGGUUCUUUCAUCUUUCAUUCAUGCGUCAUUACUUUGUUUUCAAUAUUCCUCUCUAGUUUUAUAGGAUAACAGAAGAAAUACUAAAUUCUAGAUCUUGAGUCUUGACAGGUUACUCUGUGCUCUAGAAGGGAAGUAUCUGGCUCAAGAAACUUGUUAUGACUUGUUGGAUGAUGCGGAUAGCACUGUUGAGGAUGACGAACAACAAUGCCUUAAAUUCUCCUGCUCUAUACCAAAUGUUACUGGGCGAGGAUUCAUUGAGGUGCUGUCAUAUUCCUAAUUGUCCCUUUCCCCCUUCCUCCUCUUGUAAUGUGCAUUUUGAACGAGCCGUAUUUUAUAAGUCCGGAAUUUGUUUAUAAAUCUUCUUAUGAAUACUGAGUAUAGAUUUGUUUCUAGACAGCGCCUUAACUGAAAUCCACGGUUCUCAUUUUAUUGGUCAAAUUUAUGUCAGGUUGAAGAUCAUGGUCUCAGCAGUAGCUUCUUUCCAUUUAUAGUUGCAGAGCAGGAAGUAUGCUCUGAGAUUUGUAUGCUGGAAGAUGUGAUUGAGGUGUCCGAGACUGAUGAUGAUAUCCAAUCUGGACCUGAAAAAGUGGAAGCUAAGAACCAAGCCUUGGACUUUAUACAUGAAUUGGGUUGGCUCCUACAUAGAAGUCGCGUUAAGUUUAGACUGGGUCAAUUGGAUCCCAAUCUAGAUACAUUUCCCUUUAGACGGUUCAGAUUGCUCAUGGAGUUCUCCAUUGACCAUGAUUGGUGUGCUGUGGUGAAGAAACUCUUGGGCAUUCUGUUUGAUGGUACUGUCGACGCUGCAGAGCAUCCUUCCCUUGAGUCUGCACUACUGGAUAUGGGCCUCCUCCACAGAGCUGUGCGAAUCAAUAGCAGACGUAUGGUGGAAUUCUUGUUAAGAUUUGUCCCAGGUUUAACAGGAUCUGAGCAGAAGGAACAAGUUGACAGGGACGGCAACAGUUUCUUGUUUAAACCUGAUGUUGUUGGGCCCAUGGGGUUGACUCCUCUUCAUAUUGCCGCCAGUACUGAUGGCUGUGAGCAAGUAUUGGAUGCCUUAACUGAUGAUCCUGGAAAGGUAAUAUCUCCGUUUUUUGAAUUGCAACAUAAUAUUUUUCUUCUAAUUCUAUGUAGAAAUCACUUUGCGCUGGCUACAACCUCCAUCCCAUCUCCAUACCCAUUUGAACUCUUGCGCCUACAGUUGACCUGUGUCUGUUCUCAUACUGUUUCACACACGUGUUUUGAUGAUUUUAACUCAUUCUAAUUUCCAGCAUGUCAGGUUGCUCACGGAUUUUAGAUCUGUAAUCAUGUCUUCUUUGACUUUGAGCUCUCUCUUUAGCUUUUCCACUGUCUUCUGCCUAAACAAAAUACACUGAUUCCAGUUAUUGAGUUGUAUUUCAAAUUCUCAAUUAACCAAUCCUAGACAAAUUAUGCAGUCUUGUAUUUUCUUUGGCUUGCGAAACAUAUGAAACAUAAAUCACCGUAGAAAAGUUAAAUGCGCCAUUCAAAUUGGUAAAGAAAGCAGCACCCCACAUCUAAAUGCAUGCUAACUCUUUCACAGCUGAAAGCGGCACCCAAAUUCUACAUUCAACUUGAAAUCAAAUAGGACUGCUGUUAAAAUUUUUGACGAUAAAUGAAUUAUGAUUCUUUUCAUCGUUCUAGUUUCAACUUUCAAGCAUGUGUUUAGGACUGCUGUCAUGAAAUUUCUUUAGUGUCAGAUAAUCCAUUCAUCAAGUUGAUAUGGGCGUUUUUUUCUUUAGGUGGGAAUUAAAGCAUGGAAAAACACUCGAGACAGCACAGGAUUGACACCAUAUGAUUAUGCAUGCCUUCGAAGCCGCUACUCCUAUGUCCAUAUAGUCCAGCGGAAAAUCAGCAAUACACUGGAAAGCGGGCAUGUGGUGCUUGACAUCCCUGGCCUCACGUUAGACAGAAAUGGAAAGCAGAAGCAAUCGGAUGCGCAUAAAUCAUCAAGAGUAGCCAGCUUGGAAACUGAAAGGAAUGAUAUAAAAGCAAUCUUACGACACUGCAGGUUAUGUGAACAGAAACCAGCUUAUAGCACCACACGGUCACUUGUAUACAGGCCGGCAAUGCUGUCAUUGGUGGCUGUCGCUGCUGUCUGCGUUUGCGUGGCCUUGCUCUUUAAAAGCAAUCCGGAAGUUGUUUUCGUGUUGGAGCCAUUCCGGUGGGAACACUUGAAGUUUGGUUCAAGCUAAGGUUAUAGUUUACGUGUAUUAAUUUAUAGUGACUCUGGUUAUACAUAGACCAUUUCUUUUCACGUGGAUAGGAGUAUAUUUUCUAUCUGAUUUUUAUAUGUAUAUCUAGGGCCACUCAAGCCAACAAGACUCUUCGCAUUGCAAUGGUCGGAACGUCUAUCGUAUCUGUAUUUGUAUACCUAAGCUUCCAAAAUAAACAUGGGCUGUCAUGGAUUUUGGUCCACCAGGUUUGAUUGUAUUUGUAUUUGUAUAACAGUGUUACAAACUGGAUGACACAUAAUUUCUCUGUUUGAUAUUUCUUUUUUUUUUUUCAAAAUAAACAUUUGGCACGAGGUGAUUCGGUGUUCGAUUAUUAGUGCAUUUACUGUAUAAAUUAAAUUUUAAUUUUAGAAAAUUCAGCAUUUUUGUUGGUUAUAUUGGAGGAAAUCGAACUUUGGUCUACUCUAAUUCUAACUUAUUACCAUACCCUCCUCCAUUAUUUGAGCUCAUAUAAGCAUAAGCACACUAAACAAGGUUAAGUAUAGAAGAAUUUGGGAAUUGAGAAUUAUUGUUUGAGCAUUAUUUCAUGUUUAGUGCAAAUUGAGGUUGAAUUAUUUUCUAAUUUUAUUAGUUUAAUCAUUUGGAUGAAUUUGUUCAUGCUUCCAUAUGAAAUCAUUAUUUUAUUAAAAUAAUUUAUUAAUAGUUCGAGAAAAACUUAAAUGGAGGUGCUCACGUCAUUCAUCACGCAUUCACAUUCACAUUCGUUACACGUUUCUCAUAAAAACAUAAAACUCUUUCAAAUGAAUAGGUUUCACUGAAUUUGGAUAAUAUCCGACUUUACAUAAGUACAAGUAUCAAUGCACAUGAUUCCAACCAGUAAUUAUUAUCUUAUUUGAAUUACUUACCCCGAAUCAGACCUGAAAAAGUGUAAUUUAUUCAAAUUUUAUUUUCUGAAAUUCAAAAAAAUAAAAUAAAAUUUGAGGAUAAGAAAAUAAAGGGUAAAGAGGUCAUUUGCAUGCCCUGCCUCCUAAAAUCCACCUCACUACUCACUACCCCGUCACUGCUCUAACAAUUUUGCAGGCCAAAGCCAUCCAUGGCUUCUUCAAUCUCUCUCUCCUUCUCUUCCUCUCUCCUCCCUCAUCCUCUUCCUUUCAACAAAUACUCCACCGCCACCGCCGCCGCCUCCCAGAAAUCCCAAUACCCCAACUUUAAGCUGCUCCUCCGCGCAUUCGCCAACCCAGCUGUAAGCCGUCGCUCCACUCCAUCUCCGUCUUCCGACACCAGAAAGAGGCACUGGAAGAAAGGUGAAUACCCAGGCGUCUCGGAGACGUCGGCUCCGGCGAAUUACAGAAAAACCCCUGGUCGUUCCACUUCAUCUGAGUCUUCCGACACCAGAAAGAAGCACUGGAAGCGAGGUGAGUUCCCGGGCGUCUCGGAGACGUCGACUCCGGCGAAUCACAGAAAAACCCCUGGUCGUUCCACUUCAUCUGAGUCUUCCGACACCAGAAAGAAGCACUGGAAGCGAGGUGAGUUCCCGGGCGUCUCGGAGACGUCGACUCCGGCGACUUACAGAAAAACCUCCGCUCGUUCCGCUUCAUAUCCGUCUUCCGACAACAGAAAGAAGCACUGGAAGCAAGGGGAGUUCCCGGGGGUCUCGGAGACGUCGAUUCCGGCUAUUUAUAGAAAACCCCCUUUGAAAAAUGUGAAGAAGAAGCUGGACCGGAAGAACAAUGCCAAGGCCUGGGUCAACACCGUCACGGAGGCCCUGUCAGACGCCAUUGACAAGAAGCAGUGGCUCCAAGCUCUUGAGGUUUUUGUCUUAAUCUAAACAAAAAUUAACAAAUUUUUCAUCUUUUUUCUUAUGUGUUUUUAGUUUGGUGAAUGUAAAUUGAUGCAAAAUUUAAAAAAAUGGUAUUUUUAUGCUUACCAAUUUAGUUUCUUGAACCAUGUUCUUGAAAAAUGUGAUCUUUUUAGCUGAAUGAUUUUAGUGGAAUUAUAAUUAAUUGGGUGUUUUUGUUUGGAAAAUGUAUGAUGAAAUUGGGUACUAUUACGUUCAGGUGUUUGACAUGCUUAGGGAACAACCAUUUUAUCAACCGAAAGAAGGGACUUACAUGAAACUCAUUGGUAUGCUUGGAAGGUGCGGCCAACCCAAUCGUGCCCGCCAGCUUUUCGAUACAAUGGUUGAAGAGGGCUGUGAACCAACUCUUGACCUUUACACAGCCUUGCUCGCGGCUUAUUGCCGGAACAAUCUGAUUGACGAGGCAUUUUCUGUUCUUAACCUGAUGAAGACUCUCCCGCAAUGCCAGCCUGACGUUUUUACUUACAGUACCUUGAUAAAGGUUUGCAUUGAUCAUUUGAAGUUUGAUUUAGUUGAGUCCUUGUAUGAGGAAAUGGCUGAGCGGUUGAUAGCUCCGAAUACAGUCACCCAAAACAUAGUGUUGAGUGGAUAUGGUAAGGCCGGGAAGUAUGACCAGAUGGAAAAAGUGUUGUCCGGGAUGCUGGAGGGUACAAGUUGCAAGCCUGAUGUCUGGACAAUGAAUGUUGUCCUUAGUGUGUUUGGAAACAAGGGUCAGAUAGAUAUGAUGGAGAGAUGGUAUGAGAAAUUCCGUGAUUUUGGGAUUGAGCCGGAAACUCGCACUUUGAACAUUCUGAUUGGUGCUUACGGGAAGAAAAGGCUGUAUGAUAAGAUGUCAACUGUGAUGGAGUACAUGCGCAAGCUUCAAUUCCCAUGGACAACCGCAACUUACAACAAUGUGAUAGAGGCUUUCGCGGACGUAGGAGAUGCAAAAAACAUGGAAUACACGUUUGAACAGAUGCGUGCUGAGGGCAUGAAAGCAGACACCAAAACAUUCUGCUGCCUUAUUAAUGGGUAUGCCAAUGCAGGCCUCUUCCAUAAGGUGGUUAGCUGCGUUCAGUUGGCUGGAAAGUUUGAGAUACCUGAGAAUACCACAUUUUACAAUGCGGUGAUAGCUGCAUGUGCAAAGGCAGAGGAUUUAAUGGAGAUGGAAAGAGUUUUCAACCGGAUGAAAGAGAAGCAAUGUCAACCGGAUUCCACAACAUACUCUGUCAUGGUUGAGGCAUAUAGUAAGGAAGGUAUGAACGACAAGAUCUACUACUUGAAGCAGGAGAUUGGUACUGAUGGUAAUCAAAGUGAUCAGAUUAGUGUUGAAGAAAAUCAAAGUGAUCAGAUUAGUGCCGAAGAGAAUCAGAGUGAUCAGAUUAGUGUGGAAGACAAUCAGAGUGAUCAGAUUAGUGAUGAAGGCAAUCAAAGUGAUCAGAGUAGUUUUGAAGAUAAUCAAAGUGAUCAGGCUUUUGGAGCUGAGUCUGGCGGUGUUGUCUAGUUGAGAUCUUUGGAGGCAACAGUAUGCUCCAAAAAUCCCUAAUCUCACAGGGCAAUUCCAUUCCCCGCAGUUCUUCUAAGGCAGCAGCAAACUCUUAUUGUGAAAUUGCCGAUCGAUCAGGUAAUCAAACAUUUCCAUUCUCGGAUGGGUGUUAGCAAUGCUGCUUCCUCCAAUUUUAUGUUUCUGGUGAAGGACUGUAUGGAUUGAUCUGAUAGACUGAUAACCCGGGUGAAACUUUAUGGAAAAUGAUUGUACAUACAGAGUUGAUAAGUGUCUCUCUCCAAACUUGAUGCGAUCUCUAAACUAGCAUGCAAAAUUGUACGACGAUUUGUAAGAGUGUUUAACUGUGUUCAACAGAGGAAUUGCUUUUUGUUAUUGCCUGAAAUGUUUUGAAUGUAACUUCACGUAUAUAUUGUCUGCAGCAGCUGCUGGACAAUCAUAGAAGGUGGUCUGUAAACACGUUGUUUUUGAAAAUUAAUCGCUCUUUUCGGUACAUUUUGUGCUGCUGUUGUUCGAAUGUUUUGGCACUUGAGGCAGACAAUUGAUCUGCAAUUAUCCCAAAAUGUAAGGGUCCAGCUCAACAAAACGCAGGGGUAAUUUGAUCAAAGAUGUAAGUUUUGUUAUAUUGACUUUUGAGUAGCAUUGGUAGUGUAAUAAACAAUAUCAGUAACGUUGAAUAAUAAUAAAUUUUACUUGGAUGCCGGCGUGUGUAGUAAGAAUAUGUCCAAAGUGGUUUGGACAACGACAUGAUGGUGCGUUAACUAAUAUGAUCUUAUCACGUGAUGAGAGAUAAAGGAGAGAUGAAUGUAUUCGUGACCUGGAGGUUAUUCUACACGUAAACUUGUAAAGAUAGGCAAACAGGGUGCUUUUUGGUUGAAACGAAAUGCUGAAUUGUUUACUCUUUCUUGUGUAAGAAGAGAAGACUUGUAUCGUAAUCAGGUACUAAUUGUUGUCUUUUGGUCCCACCUUACCUCACACUAUAAAUAAUGGCAUCUAAACCCGAUUAUUCACAGAGAAGCUUUCACAAAAGCAUAAAACUCUUAUAUUUUGGUUUCACUCGCCUCAAACUAGUCUCCCUCGUUGAAAUAGCUAACCUAGUUAGGAACUGUACACAAGUUUCUCUCGUAUCGAAGAAAGUCAAAGAAGUUUUUAGCUCACAAAAGCACAUAACCCCCUAUAUAUUCCAUUUGAAUCACCAUUUACAAAAUUUGUACUAACUUUCCAGUCGAAGAUAGGAUAGUUUCGACAAGUAUUGAACGGCUAAGAUAACUUUAUUUAUUACAUGAAUGGCUAAGAUUAAAAACAAGGGCACGUAGACGAAUACAAACAUCUUCAAUGAGAGGAUCCACCAUUUCUACCAUUGGAAAUUUAAUUUCCUUACAGAAUAGGCGAAAAGUGAAGCGAAAACAAUCGGGAAAGCAAUGAGAACAAUCGCCACGAGGAAUAAACGAUCGUGAUGGAAGCCAUAGUAGUCUUGAAGGAAGGAAGCAACUGUUUUCUGCUCCCCAAAAAUCAAAAUCUCUUUGUUCAUGUCUCCAUAUUGUGAACUGAGGAGGGCAUUUAGGGACCAUGAUGUAGGACAAAUCCAAUAGAACCAAAUCCACCACUUGGGAAUUUUCUGCAUAAAAUAUAUAGAACAUGGUCCGCUAGGCUCACAGUAAACCGUCAUAUUAAGGGUUUAUUUGGCACUGCUUCUUUAGAAAGAACUUUUGCUUAUAAAUUAUAAGCGCUUUUUCUGUAAGUUGUUUAAUAGAGUUAUGUUGCAAAAAAAGCAGUUGGGAGGGCUUCGCAUACUAAAAGCUCUUAAAGUUUUACUACAUAGUCUUUUGGCUUUUCUAGAAGCAGUCUCAAACAGGGCUAAAGACUAAAGAGAGAGUUAGAUUUAGUUACCGGCCCGAGCACAAGGAAGCCGGAAAAAAGAUUCAAUAUGGUGUAGAUUGCCGUUGCGAAAAUGGAAGCUACUUGCAGGCUUGUGCUAAAAGAAGCUAUCAGCAUCCCAAGGUAUACAAAUUAGAGAAAUGUAGAGAAUGUUGCAUGGAAGUACCAGAAAACCUUAGUAGCUGACCAAUAGUACCCUAUUGUAGGGUAUGUAAUAAUGACAUACAGAAUUGCUUGAACCACUUUGUAAGUUAUUUCAAUGGCCACCUACAACAACAUUCAAAAUUUCGACAUGUUAAAAACCUUUCCACUACAAGCUACGUUAUAGUACCAGUUAAAAUGUACGAACCUGUGCAAACGAAUGAGCGUUUGAUGAGUACAUCCCAGCAAAUCUUUCCCGGUACAGAACUGCGCGCUCAGUAGCCACGUAAGGCAGAACCGUCGAGCAAUUGGUUGUGCCCAAAAAUAUUACAGCAAUGUACAGUAACCCAAGCACGUUGAACAAAUCAUGCUCAUUGUUUCUUGAGGAACAAGAAAAACACAGGAUUUAGCGUUGUUGAGCAAAAAUUGUACAUAAUAUGUAAACAAAUAAUUCUCUCGACAUAAUUUCACCCUCGUUCAUUUUUCGAAGAGGGUUUUAUUAGUUUGAGUUUGAUUCAUUCUAGGUUACGCGCCUAUUAAUUACAACCUUUCUUUUGGGAAAGGAAUACCCUUUGAUUCUAAUAUGAAUAAAUCGUAAUUUGAGGAUUUGGGUGUUUAUUUGAUUUUGUGACUGUAUCUAGGUAGAGCCCUAGAUUGCCUACGUACCCUCGUUGAGGGAUCAAAUCACUCGUAGUUCCUUAUGUGUUUUGUUGGGGUUUGACGCCUUGUGCAGUUUCAGCUCAUGCAGAUGAGGAUUUUAAGCCGUUGGAGCUUUAAUAAAUUUGAUAUGGUUUUAUGCCAUUCUGAAAUUUGAUACGGCUUCGUGCCAGUUAACAUAGCUUCGUGCCACUUGAGAUUUUGUUGCGGCUUCAUGCCAUUUGAUAUUUGACUUUUUCUUCGGCUUUACGGCUUCGUGCCAUUGAAUUGGCUUUGAGCCAUUUGAGGCAGCUUUGUCCCAUUUAAAGUGGUUUUAUGCCGCUUAAACGUUGAGUAAAAUUAACAGGUUUAUUUCUGAUAAACCCACUAAUAUUUUGGCAUUUGACUCUGGCUUGGUACCAUUUCUUACUCCAUGUUUAAUUUUACUUUUCCUUUUUCGUUUGCCCUUUCUUCUGACAAAUUUGUAGAGAAUCAUGCUUGGAAUAAAAAAAAAAUUUCCUCUGUUCCUUCAUGGGAUUUACUCCACAAGGGUUUUGUUCAAAGCAGCAGAAGUGAAUUUAGUUUAUACAAACCAGGGAUUCAUCUUGAUUUCUUGGUUGCGUCUAAAAUUUGAUAUCAGACUGCCUACGUAUCCUUAACGGAAUCAAACCGGCGUAGUUCGUAACUUUUGAGACUCAUCGCGGCUUUGUGCCAUUUGAUACUUGAUAUGGAUUCGUGCCAUUUGAAGUUUGACGGAGCCUUGUGGCAUUUGUGUCUUGUAAAUAUUUGUGAUGAACCCACUUUUACAUUGGUAUUUGACUUUGUCUUCCUUUUCAUUUAUUUUGUCUUGGAACCCAUUUUAUUUUGCCUACAAGCCCGUCACUCUAUUGUUGCCCUUUAUUUUUUUGCAUGGUAGCACAAAAAAAAUCCUUGCUUUCAUAUGGAAAAUAUAAAAGCAAGAGUCAAAGCUCCUUUAUUUUUACCAAUGCCUUUUUCAAGCUUUUAAGUCCCUUGCUUUUCUUCUUUCUUUAUUUUUCUUUUGUCAUUGCCGUAUGUCUCCCUAAGAACAACUCCACUUUUGGAGCCCUUUCUCCAUGCAAUCCACUAUUCAAUCCACCAUGUAAACAGUAAUUACCCUUAAUAAACAGUAACUACUUUUGUAUCUCAACCCUUGCACUUGAAUACCCUUGGCAAUAGGCAAUAAAAUAUUAAUUUUUAUAAUUAAUAUUAUAUUAUUUAAUUUGUACAAAUUAAUAUUAUAUUAUUAAUUUAUCUUUUCCAAUCUCUUCCCGAAACUUCUACCAUUUUUGUUUUCUUCUUCCUUCCCACUCUCUCACUCCCCUCUCCCUCAUUGUCUUCUUUUUUUUCUCCGGCCGACAGUCUACCUCCCCUCUCUCUUUUUCUCCCCCAUUUCUCCCUGUUUUCUUCCUCAAACGAGGAAGCUGCGAAUUUUGAGAGAGAGCAGCACCGAACCCACCCGCCUCCCGCCAUGUCUAAAUCCACUGAUGUGUCUUUCUUCCUCCUCAUGGUCCUCUGCGGCCAGGCCCAAAGAGGCCGCCUGCUUCUUUCCGACUUCAACCAAUCAACGUCAUCCGAUCUGAUCUCCGAUAGAGUCCACCACCACCACCGGUCCCACACCCUGGCUCCCUACCUCACUCUCGAGAACGCCCUUUCGGCGGAAGACUCCACCUGCAAGCAGACCUACGUUUUCCUGCCUUGCACCACCACUGUGAUCGACAACCUUUCCUAAUUCCUGACAGAAAAAAAUUAAAAAAAAGGACUGACGCCAGCCUGACGUCAGCCCCUACUCGGGCUGGCAAUUCCUCAUAGACCCUUUGCUCGGGCCUUGGCUGCUGCUUGGGCUUGCUCACGCUGGAGCUGGUCGACAGGGCCUUGGGCUCUUUCUUCUCCCCCCGUCCCUCGAGCAGGAGCUUCCGCUAAAGCUGCUCUAAUGGUUCGAAGAUGAUGGAAUCCAAUUUGAAAUGGCACAAGUUAAAUUUCCAUAAAGAACUCCCAUAACUUUAUUGACCCCUACGUGAGCAACUUUCCAUGUGAGGUGCUGAUUUCAGUUAGCAUUCUUCUUUGAUCUUUUCAAACCCAUUUAAACAUGGGACUUCGAACCUAUCUGACCUAAACUUCUGACCAAUCUGAGAGCAAGCCUUACUCUUUUCUUUGUUUGACUUCAAAGGUCUCCAAAUUCCAAUAAGACUUUAUCCCAUACUUUAAAUGGGGGAACCAUGACUUUCUUUUGUCUUCCACGACUUUCUUUUGUCCUCCACGUGAGUGGUUUUCUUGCUAUGAAGUAAAAGAAGACCACAUCAACAUUUUUUUAACUUUACUUUUGAUUUGACAAAAGCUUUUUGGUCUGGAACUCUUCUUCUCUCCUUAUGAGUUUUAAACAUUUUUUUUUCUUUGUCUUCAACCUUGAAUUUAGCUUUGCCCAACAUUUGACAAUAACUUACUUCAUCUUUGAGGUGCCACGUAUUUAGCCUUUUUUAAAAAAAACAAGCACUUUCUUUUGAGUUUUCUGUUUCCUGCAUGGAUUUGUCUUCACAGGGGUAAAACUAGUCUUCGACUAAAAUCACGAAUCAUCUUUUGCUUGUUGGAGAUUUUUUCUUCAAUUCCUAAUUUAAACAGGAAUUUGAAUGAAACUUGGUCAGUGGCAACUAGCGCCUAUUCUUCUUUGGCUGGGCUUUCUUUGGGUUUCUGUCUCAAUGAAGAACGCCAAAAGUUUUUGAAGAAGACCAUGGCCCGUCGACCGACAGAAGCUUCGGGACCAUAGCUGGGCAUGUUGGGUUCUUGUUCUCCACUUGUUCAAAUGUGCAGAGUGACGGCUUAUUCUCCGUUGCAUCUCUGAAAAGAGGAAGGGAGAUGUCGAAAACUUCUUUAGACACCCAAGAGGCUACAGGAGGUUGUGGGAAGACGAUUUGCUGCUGUGUUUUGAUGAAAUCUCCGUUGGACAUCACAAGUUGCAGGGUGUCGAUGAUGUUGAAGACAUGGCGCAGCUGCUGUCUCUGUUUGGGCUUCCGUCUAACGUCGGCGGUUUAUUGCAAUGUUGCCUUCAUUAGCUAUUUCACACCGCUGCCAUCUUCUUGCUCAAACCUUCGUCAAAUUUGUUGAUGGUCUGGACUGGCGUGCCCAACUACGUCACCUGGUUUCAUCACCUUCGGAUCACGAACUGCACUGCCCUUGGGCUUCUUCCGGAGGACUGACAGAGACGACGGUUGAAAAAUGGUGGUGUUGCCGUAGUGCAGUGAUCACCUAGACCUGGUUGGAACUUCACGGGGUGGUUUAGACCACCCCGAAGAAAUUCAUGGGACUGGGGAUGGGAGAGAAACAAAUUGUUUUUUUUUCUUCUUGCAAAGCCGAGAGAAAGCAUACAAAGAAAGAUUUAGAAGGAUAGAUUUAUACCUUUAAAUGCUUUGUAGCAUUUCCUGCUCUUUGUUCUUGCGGGUAGCACUUGAUAUCUUCUUCUUUUUUCUUCUUUUGUUUCUCUUUUGCCUUUGCUCUCUUGCUUUGCCUCUCAUUCUCUGUUGUCUUCAUUGCGCUUUUCUGUCUCUCAAUUUUUGCAGAGUACCCUUGUCUUUUUUUUUUUUUUUUCUCUUGCUGUAGUUGAUGCCUAUUUAUAGGCAUCCCAAGUAAAGGAUGAUACAUUCCUGAUCUCUUGGGAUUGUUUCCUGUUUCAUCAUGAUUUCCAGAUUUCCCUGUUUUAUUAAAACAUUCCCCUUAUGUAUUCUUUGUAGAUUAAUUAUACUUGUAAAUCAAGUCAUUGUACACUAUUUAAAUCAAUGAUAAUGCACCCUCUAGGGCAUCGAGGGAUUGAGCCAAAAUACCUUCUUUUGAGUUAUCUUUUAUGGUACUCAGAGCCAGUGACUAACGUCUUUUUUUUCUUUUCGGAUUCUUCCUACUCUUCUCCAUGGCUGCCUCAACCAGUUCGACUACUCCUUCCUCCGACAUCUUCCCUUCUGUUUCUCAUGCGAUCUCCAUCAAACUUGACUCUUCCAAUUAUCCUCUUUGGUUGGCUCAGUUGCUACCUGUUCUUCGCAGUCGUCAAUUGUUGGCUUUUGUUGAUGGUACUUCCAUCUGCCCCUCGGCGUUCUUGUCCGACGAUACCGGCAACGCCUCUUCCAAACCCAACCUCGCGUAUGCUGACUGGGUUCAGAAGGACCAGCUUGUUCUUUCUUGGAUCAAUGGCUCUCUUGGUCACCAGGCCCUCGCCGCCACUGCUCGUCAUUCCACUGCCCGUGAUGUUUGGGUUGCUCUUCAGCAGCGUUUUGCUUCUACAAACCAAAGUCGCAUUCUUCAGCUUCGUACUGCUUUCUUCCAGACCAAACGAGGUGAUUCUUCAAUUUCUGACUUUCUUGAUAAGAUCAAUGGUAUUGCCGAUCAAUUGGCCCUUGCCGGGGCACCUGUUUCUGCUGAUGACAUGGUGCCGGUCGUCAUGUCUAAUGUCGGCCCCAAAUUUGAGAACACUGUUGCUGCUGCUCAGGCCCGUGACAACCCCAUCUCCCUUUCUGAUCUUGAGGCUCUUCUUCUCGUUGCUGAACUCCGCCUUGCUGAUCCUCCUGCUCCGCCGGACUCCAGCGUCUCGGCCCUGGUAGCCUCCCGCGGCUCUUCUGCCUUUCAUGGCCGCUCCUCUUCUGAUCGCGGCGGCGAUCGUGGCUCUGGCCGUUUCUCACGUGGGGGUGGUCGUCCUCAACAUGAUGGGUCUCGCAACAAUGGUGGUGACGGCUAUCGUGGCUAUCGCGGUGCUGGUGGUUUCCAUGAUCGUCCGUUUCGCGAUCGUGGUGGUGGUCGUCCUCAGCACGAUGGCUCUCGCUUCCGUGGCUCCAACAAUGCUUCUGGGGUUCUUGGUCCAGCCCCAUAUCACGGUUCCUCCCGUCCUCGCUGCCAUAUUUGCAAUACUUUUGGUCAUGGUGCUCUUGACUGUGCUCAACGUCUUAAUUUGGCUUAUGAAGGUCGUCCUCCUUCUUCCCGUCUCACUGCCUUGACUGCUCAGCACUCCCAGCCUUGGCUCAUUGAUUCCGGGGCAAACUCGCAUAUCACCAAUGAUCUCAAUACUUUGUCUCAGUCCCGUGAUUAUCGUGGUGGUGAUUCCGUCGGUGGUGUCGUUGGCGGUACAGGUUUGCCCAUUAACCGUAUUGGCUCCUCCACUCUCUCUCAUAAUAAUAUUUCUUUCAAGCUUAAUGAUGUUCUUCAUUGUCCGGAUGCUUCUACUUCUGUGUUGUCUGCUAAUCGGUUUAUGUUGGAUAAUAAUUGUUAUAUUACAUUGUUUCCUUCUUGUUUCUAUAUUCAGGAUAUGGAGACGGGGACGAUUCUUUUUUCGGGCAAGAGUAGCAAUGGCUUUUAUCCCUUUUCCUCUUCAUCACCGACUGCUCAUGGUCGUGCUGCUUUUCUUGGUGUUCGUGUUGGUAGUGAUGUCUGGCACUCUCGUUUAGGCCAUCCAUCUUCUUCCAUUUUAAAAUUUCUUUUUUCUAGGCAUUCGAAUAAGUUGCCUGUUUCUGGCAACCUCAAUCUCAAUACUUUUAUGUGUCAUUCUUGUCCUUUAGGCAAAAGUGUUAAGUUACCUUUUUCUGCAUCAUUGUUUGUUACUCAAGCUCCUCUUGAGCUUAUUCACUCCGACGUGUGGAGUGCGUCCAAUAAAUCUGUUAGUGGUUUCCAAUAUUAUGUUCUUUUUGUUGAUAAUUUCUCUCGUUAUUCUUGGAUUUAUCCCAUGAAAUUGAAAUCUGAAGUCUUUAAUAUUUUUACUCACUUUAAGACCUUGGUUGAAAAUCAAUUCUCCACUAAAAUUAAGAUGUUUCAGUCCGAUGGUGGGGGCGAAUACACUAGUCACCAAUUCAAGAAUUUUUUUCUUCACCAUGGUAUUCAUCAUCGUCUCUCAUGCCCUCACCAUCCCGAACAAAAUGGUUUGGCGGAACGCAAACAUCGUCACAUUGUCGACACUGGACUUACUUUAAUGGCCCAUGCGUCGAUGCCUCCUGCCUAUUGGGCUAAGGCCAUGCACACAGCAGUUUAUCUUCUCAAUCGCCUCCCCUCUAAAGUACUUGGUUUUAUGUCUCCUUAUCAAAAGUUGUUUCUUAAGGAACCUGAUUAUAGUUUUUUAAAGACCUUUGGGUGUGCAUGUUUUCCCCACCUACGACCCUAUAAUAAUAAUAAACUCCAGUUUCGUUCUACUAAAUGUGUUUUUCUUGGUUACUCUCUCAAUCAUCAAGGUUCUCGGUGCUUAGACAUCUCUACUAACCGCAUCUUUUUAUCACGCCAUAUUGUGUUUGAUGAAGGUAAUUUUCCUUUCAAGGCCAUCUCUGGCUCUCUUGCCCCAUCCUCCCCGGCCUCGUCUCCUCCUCCUGUUUUAGAAAUCACUGGGCCUCUUCCGCAUGCCCCCCGACCGUCUAGCAGCCAACCGGUGGUUGUGUCCCCCUCUUUGGAGACUCAUCAAUCCAGUCCAUCAUCCGACCCACCACAGCCGGCCCUACAGGUUUACUCCCGUGACCCUCACAGGCGGGUUCUUUCUUUUGCACAAGCAGCAACCCCAUCUGUCACUCCCAGGCCCACGCCUGCUGUUGCCUCUGCAGUUCAACCUGAUGCGCCUCCCGAGGCUCCAUCUGCUGCUGUACCACCUGCCGUGCCCUCUACUUCCCAUGGUAUGCUCACUAGGUCCAAAACGGCUUCUCUUAAGCCUCAUAAAUAUGUUUUUUCUGCUGCCAUUUCUUCUUCUACCGGUCCUAUUGAGCCUACUUGUUUUAGUCAGGCCAACACUUUUCCCGAAUGGCGUACUGCGAUGGCCGAUGAAUUUAAUGCACUUCAACGUGCUGGUACUUGGACUCUUGUUCCUCGUACCGCUUCUAUGAAUAUUUUGCCAAACAAAUGGGUGUUUCGUAUUAAACAGAAUUAUGAUGGGUCUAUUCAGCGGUAUAAGGCUCGUUUGGUAGCCAAUGGUUUUCAUCAGCAACCCGGCCUUGAUUAUGGUGAAACUUUUAGUCCUGUUGUCAAUCACUCUACUAUUCGCUUAAUUUUGGCUCUUUCAGUUCAGUUUCAAUGGCCUGUUCGUCAGUUGGAUGUUCAGAAUGCUUUUCUUCAUGGCUCUUUGUCUGAGGAGGUCUAUAUGCACCAACCUCGUGGCUUUGUUGAUCCACAGUUCCCUCAUCAUGUGUGCCGCCUUCGUCGUUCUUUAUAUGGGCUCAAGCAGGCGCCCCGUGCAUGGUUCCAAUGUUUUUCCACUCAUUUGGAAGAUUUGGGUUUUCGUCCCUCUACUGCGGAUCACUCGCUUUUUACCUAUAUUCAUGGCUCUACUCGCAUUUAUCUCUUAAUUUAUGUUGAUGAUAUUUUGGUCACCGGGAAUAAUCCCUCAUAUUGUCACCCUCAUUAAGAAUUUGGGCAUCCGUUUCUCUAUGAAGGACCUUGGACCGGUUCAUUAUUUCUUAGGCAUGGAGGUGGUCCGCACUCCAUCAGGUCUCUCUCUUUCCUAACAAAAGUAUGCCACUGACCUACUUCACCGCACCAAAAUGCAUGGUGCUAAGCCGGUUCCUACUCCUGCCGUUAGUGGGCGACGGCUCAGUCUUCAGGAUGGUGACCCUCUGCCGGAUCCUAUUGAAUACCGAAGUGUUGUCGGCGCCCUUCAAUACUUGACUCUCACUCGUCCCGACAUCAACUUCGCCGUCAACCAAGUCUGCCAAUUUCUUCACCAGCCGACUUCUACUCAUUGGGCCGCCGUCAAACGCAUUCUUCGUUACCUUGUCGGCACUACUUCUCACGGUCUUACCUACAAGCCUGGUUCCUUUCGUCUUACAGCAUUUUCCGAUGCCGAUUAUGCCGGGAUCCUGAUGAUCGGCGUUCCACCGGGGGCUAUUGCUUGUAUCUGGGUUCCAAUCUUGUCUCAUGGAGUGCCAAGAAACAAAAUGGGGUCUCUCGGUCCAGCACUGAAGCCGAGUAUCGUCAACUUGCAAUCACCGCUGCCACUCUUUCAUGGUUUCGUAUGCUGUUCCGUGACCUCCAGUUUCCUCUACAUUGUCCUACACUGUUUUGUGACAAUAUCAGUGCUAUAUCCCUUGCUUCCAACCCGGUGUUUCAUGCCCGCACUCGGCAUGUUGAGGUGGAUUACCAUUAUGUUCGUGAAAAGGUUGUUCGCAAGGAGAUUGAUGUUCGUUAUCUUUCUACUCAUGAUCAGAUUGCUGACUUCUUCACCAAGGGCCUUUCUCUUCCUCGUUUUCGACUUCUGGUUUCCAAGCUUCCUGUACUUGAUUGUACUGUCAGCUUGCGGGGGCGUAAAGGAUGAUACAUUCCUGAUCUCUUGGGAUUGUUUCCUGUUUCAUCAUGAUUUCCAGAUUUCCCUGUUUUAUUAAAACAUUCCCUUUAUGUAUUCUUUGUAGAUUAAUUAUACUUGUAAAUCAAGUCAUUGUACACUAUUUAAAUCAAUGAUAAUGCACCCUCUAGGGCAUCGAGGGAUUGAGCCAAAAUACCUUCUUUUGAGUUAUCUUUUCCCAAGAAGGCUCUAGAAUUUGUUACGUGGGGGAAGAUGGAGACCAUGACCUCCUGCCACUUUCUGUUAACCCCCUUUUCUGACUCCACGUUUCUUUUUGUUGCAGAAAAUGGGGGAGCACCUGUUUUUUGCACGUUACUUCCCCCCUUAUGUAGGAAAAAAAUUAUAAAUUUUUUAUUUAUUCCUGAAUGUAUUUGUAUGUAAAGCUCAUCCUCAUCUUUUGGGUUGGAUUACAUUUUUGUUUUACCUUGAAGUUUGACUCAAUUUGAAUGGACUUUAUUUUUUCAUAUUUUUUUUGUUCAACAAGCGUAGUUUUCUUUUUCUUUUUCUCUGUGAAAUAUAUAGUAUGAAGAGGGUGGAAAUGGGUCGGGGCUUACAUUUCCUUCACUUUCUGCCAAAAGAUUGUUCCGAACCACACUGAUAGAGCGAAAAUAAACGCGAAACGUGCUAGAUUGUACUUUGGACUUCUCCAGUGGGACAAGUGUUGUUUCCACAGACAUGCCUUAAACUGCACCCAGCUAUUUUGAGCAAAAGGAGUGGGAAGGUUCAAGCCCCUUGAACCCGGCUUUGGUUCGCUCAACCGGCUAACCAACUCGACCGUGUCUCUCUGAAAAAGAAGGAAACAAACAUAUAAAUUUGAUGAUUGAAAUAAAUACAUGAUUAAUCCUAAAAUAAUGGAAAUAUUAGAGAUAUGCCCUUACCUAUACUGAGUAGAGGGUUUAUAAAUUUCAGCAAAAUCUAAACAAAGUUUUGCCUCUACUGAGGCAGAAGUAACUUCUAACAUCCAAGUUGCUGGAUUGUAAUUUUCUUUGAUCUUUGGUACAUCACGAAUAUCCUCAAAAUAUUUGACGAGUUUACUCGAGUGAUGACCGAGAACUCCAGAAUAGAUGAUUUGGCCUCCCCUUUUCAUCAAAAGUAACUGCAAAAAUCAAUGUCUUCCGUUAGUGAUCGAGUGGCUUUUAUGAUUUGGUUUAGUUUUCUUGGACUCCAUGACAAUGCUCGUUAUACUACCUCGUCAAAUGACUGAAAAAUAUCAAUGCUUGGCUUGUGGAUUGUGCAAACAGUUGUCCUUCCUGUGGAAACAACAUUCUUUACUACGCAAAUGGCAAUUGCAGCUGCUCUGGCGUCUAAGCCUGACGUAGGUUCAUCCAUAAAUAUUAUUGAUGGGUUGGAUACAAGCUCCACUGCAAUUGUUAGCCUUUUGCGCUGUUCAGUAGAUAGGCCAGUUUGUCCAGGAAUGCCAACUAAGGAAUCUCUUAUAUCCUCCAGUUCAAUCGUUUGAAUGACUUCCUCCACAAAUUUCUGCAUAGAUUAAGCAAAGGAUACUUUCUUUUAUAUGUUCCAGGAAAUUUGCAUAUUAUUGAUAAAUUGAAAGAAUAUCAUCCUACAGCUUUUAUGUCUGGAUCAGUUUCGUGUGGCAACCUCAACCAAGCUGAGAACAUAAGCGAUUCUUCUACCGUGAUCUGUGGAGAAUGUAUAUCAGUCUGCUCGCAGUAUCCUGAUAUUCUUGCAAAUGUCUUCUGGACCUUGGGGUACCCUCCGAUUCUUAUAUCUCCCACGAUACUACCUCCUGUUUCCCUUCCAGAAAGAACAUCCAUGAGAGUUGUUUUUCCAGCCCCAUGCGGUAGGAAUUCCUGGACUGAAUGCUCCUGUUAUAUCUUUAAGCAACUGAAGCUUUUUCUCCUUGAAAGCAUGCUGUCUCAUUUCCUUUUUUAAGAAGGAAUGAAGUUAAAAUACAACUAAAUAGUUUUCCAAUGAUACUAAUAUGUGAAAAUUGACUAAUGAUUUGAUUAAUUACCGGAGGUGUAUCAACAUAAUACUGCACGUCCUUAAAUGAGAUUGUCAGUGGCUCGAACGGCAGGACCAUUCUCCCUGUUUAACAAAUUGAUUUACUCUCGAAUAAUUCAGUUGUUAAAAAAAUUCCUUGCUCGUUGCUUUGAAUGGAAAAUGUGAAACUGAUAACCCGGAUAAACUGGAUGCAACAAUUCAUCUCACCUAGUGUUAUCUUUUCUCCCAUGGUUUUGAAUAAAUCGGAUAGAGUUGAUUCAUUUUCCAACGGUGCACCAGUUUGGGUUAAUAUUUAACAUUGGGCUUAUAGGAGAGAAAGCCCAAAAGAGUUCAAUAAGAAGAGUUUCGUCCGAAGCCCAGCACCAAGCCCAGACCGUCCAUCUCAAGACCAAUUGGCACUCUCCUAUUAAUGCAAAGGCUAAGUGCUUACAAGAGAAGUGACAACUGAUGAAAAUCAACCUACUCUCAGCCCAAAAGUACUUUUCAGUGGCAAUACAAGUAAAAUAUUGAUGAGUCACUACCAUUCAAUUGCUUUUGGGUAAGAACAAAGCUACAAGCGGUCGGACUAAUUCGUUUAUAAAAGGAGGAAGAGGGCUCAGAGACAAGGACACUCAAUCAAUCAAACAUACAACUUGUCUCUCAUCCAAGCAAAUACCCAGAAAGCUGUGCUUUGUCCAGACUCUGCACCCUUUUAGCCUUAGAUUUCCUUAGAAAGACAUCUUUUUUCUAUGUAAAAGCUCUGCUACAUUUUUCUAAAUGUUGUAGUAUCGAUCCCUCGUGUAUAAACUCGUUUCCAGUCAUCUCCUUUAGUACUCAAUUCUUUUGUAAACUGCAAAGAGAAGAGAUCGCAAGGCGUUUAACCUUGCUUGACAAAGUGAAAUCUUGCCCAACUCUCUUUGUUUUUAUCUUUCAAUUAACAAAUAUGGUGUUAUAAUGUAUUCCGUAGUUUAUAUUCAAGUUAUUUCCAGUCCUUUGAUGACCCAAAGCCCCAUCAGUUCUCAGAUCUGGUUCACUUAGUGGUUUUAUCAAGAAUUGAAAUGAAUUAAACUGAUGACUUGAUCAGAUCUAAGCCUUCACCCCUCAAGCAUACAAAAUAACUAAAAGUCUUUGAUCUCAAGGCAUAGAAAAUAACUUAAUGUAGACUUAAUCCAUCUACAACAAUCCUUUGAUAAACAAGAAGUCAGAAAUAACUUGGGGUGCAAGUAAUCGGCUUAAAACACACUUGUUCUACAUCUGCCAUACAGAGAUGGCAGUGGCACGCCUAAGCACCUAGUUAGUUUUGAAUGCGAGCCUCAAGGCCUAUACCUAAGGCCCCACAAAGGCACCUUUCAGAACUAACUUUGUUUUCCUCUUGCAGUAUUGUGACAAGCAGGAGCCCAACAAUCAACCAAAGUGCCAACUCCUCGGGCAGCUGUGUGCUCGAGCCAGGAACGCCCACCAACCAGAUUUCCUGCCCAAAAAGCACCAGUUUUGCGAGCUCCCCUUCUUCAAAGUUGAGAUAAUCUUUUUUUCGAAACAAUAGCCCGAUACACCUUUGGAGCUGUAUGAGGAAAAGCUUAAGUAAACUGAUGUGGAGCUGUAUGAGGAAAAGCUUAAGUAAACUGAUGAAGUGGAUUGUAAUACUUAAGUUAUCAUCUGUCAAUUAAAAUGAAUCUAAGUAAGUUAAUGCUAAAAUAAAUCCAAGAUCAGACAGCAUUGUGAACCCGAGUAAUGCUCCUACUGAUAUCCAAUAGAAAUAGCCAUCAAAGUUCAAACCAUGCCUGGUUAGAACUUUAUUCCCUAGGGUUGUGUUUCCCUCUGAGACCUAAAGAAAUGAAUUAACACUGUCAAAACACUUAUUCGACUUCGAUGAUCGGGUACUAAAAAAGUUUAUCAUCUUGAGUUGUACCUUUUGCCAGCGAGGAGCGAGGAACUCGUUUAGAGUUGUACCGAUUUCCCCAUAAGUCAUAGGUGAACACCAGAAUAGUCAACGCAACCAAGGAGGUAAAGAGGCUGCAAAACACCCCUUAUUAGUCUAGUUGUAGUUGAAUGUAACUAAAGGAAAAAUACGAUAAAUGGACUUACAUCGUGGCAAGAUGAAGCCUCCGGAUAAAAACAUUAGCACUAGGAUUAAAAUACCGCAAGUUGAUGCAACAACCAUAGUUUGGAAAACUACAGCAAUUAAACGACAUAUGGAUGUCGAUGCUUGAUGGAGAGCAAAUAGCACAAGGAACUGGAAGAAGAACCUAAAAACCAUAGCAUAUUCUUGAGGCAUUAUUAUGAUUAUUGUUCAAGCCUUUCAUGUUCUGUCGUGUGACUAUAAAGUUGAGAUCUUACGUUUUUAUGUCUGGAGCGUACCCAAUCAAAUGGUAAGUUAUUGCUGUCCACAGCAGUGAAUCAAUCACUGAAAAUGGAACCUUCAGGAUAGACUGGAAGAGAAUACGCCCAUGCUGGAUACAGAUUGAAUCCUCUUUGCUUGUAAACCACUGGUAAUCUAGUAACAGUCACAGCUCUGCAAUUCCGUUGGUCAUAAGUCGAAUAAGUGUAUAAAACAAUGAGUUCAUAAAAAAACUUGCAUUUAUCAAAUCCACGGUCCUACGGGUGCUUAUACAGAUUGCCAUUGUAAUAAAUGCAGUGAUGACAAGCUGUGGGAAAAAAAGAGAGAAAAUAUAGUAAGUGAUUUUGAGUUUAACUUCAGAAGUACAACCCCUAAAAGUGAUAUCAUUAGGCAGUAAACCUGAGCUGUUUUGAAUACGUAGAGAAAGGAAUUCCGUUUCAUGAGAAGAAGCUCUCGGGCCAUACAACCUUUGAACAACUCCCAUUUGCUCACAGAGUAAGUACUAAAUGAUAAGGCAUUAUCAUGGCACUGUGAUUUAUUGUAUGGUUUUGAGAGCUCAUCGUCUAAUUUCUUCCCCGAGUAACUUGCUCUGAAAAGUUCAAAAAAUUUGUUUGCAGAAACAUGACCGUAGGGAAUGUUAUCAUGCUUCCAGUAUUGUGCUUGAUCCUUCUUUGAGAUCACCUCUUGAAGGAAAUCUGCAGCACCCUUUCUUGGUGGGCACUUGAAACCAGAGUCUUCGAAAAACUCAACUGCGUGGCUGCGAUGACCGUGGUAAACUAUCUUCCCCUCUGCCAUUAGUAUUACAUCAUAAAAAAUAUCAAUGGUCUCGGGUGCUGGUUGGAGAAGUGAUACCAAUGCAGUUGUAUCUGUGAUAUGCACCAGCUGCUGAAGAUAGGUAACUAUCUGAAAGGUUGUAGAACUGUCUAAUCCCGUUGAUAUCUCAUCCAUAAAAAGAGCUUUUGUAGGACCUACAAUCAUUUCUCCUGAAGAUUAAACAGAAGAGGAAUGUUAUGUUUGAAACAUUUUUCUACAUGGGAAUUAGUAAUUACAUUCAAAUUUCCCUCGGAUUCAAGAUUUCACUACCGGUUGUCAGCCUUUUCUUCUGGCCACCAGAAAUGCCUCUUCUUAAUGCAUCACCAACCAUUGUGUCACUCACUACACAUACCCAGUCCAAGUAUCUAAAGAGAUUCCAAAAUAUCGUAAUUCAUUUUUCCUGUCCGAGUGAGUUAGAAAUGUCACGUUUGAACUACUUAAUGUCAGCAUUGUCCAUGUCCAACACUGGUUGGAGAAAAAUUUACCUUCAAAACAUAAUCGGUUUGGAGAUUUUCCCUUUGUCCUUCAACUGAAAUGGCCUGUGAGUAUUAUGUAAAUCUCUAAAACCUCUAACACAAAAGGGUGGUAAGAUUUACUAAAAGGAAUGUUAUGAGACUUUACAAUUACCUUCAUGUAGGUGUCAAUAUCUGGAUCGGGGACUAUUCCUGCUUCUUUUUCCCUUCUGCUGAGCUCCAUUAUUAUAUAUGCAUAAAAUACGAUCGAAAUUAAACUUCAUACGUCAAUAGAAGUACACGACUAACCCAAUAGUAAAUGCAAUAGGGGAUAAGGAAUAUGCACCAGCUCUACUGCCAACACCCUGGCAGCGGGAGGAAAAGUCAAUUGUUUCCCUCAGUCAUCUCAGGCAGGUGAAGGUCAUGCUGGCUAAUGUAAGCUGAUGUUUUUUGGGGAACAAACUCAUCUAGCUUGUAACCAUUAUAAGUGUUGUAAACUGAAAUAGAAAGGAACGAAGUUACCUAAAAAAAUGUAGAAGCCUUGAGUGGUGAAUGAUUAUUGGGAUGAGUUGCGGACUAAGUCGCUUUCUUUAAGACGUUUCGCGGCUCUACCCAAAGUGUGCAAGCAGUUCACAAACACCACAUCGUCCUAGGAUAAAACAGCCCAAAACCUUCUUCUUCUUCUUCUGAUAAAGUUCUUCCUUGUACAGUAGAAGAACCUUCGAAUUCACAUUCUCUCAAUAUGUUGCUAACCAAAACUAUAUAUUAGAAAAUAUAUCUUCUUUUUUUUCCGCAUACUUUCAAUGAUCCAGGGACUACUAUAUAUACAUUUAGACGAAAGAGAUGUUGAGGGUUUGAGAAAAUUGAAAGCAGGACAAAAUCAAAACGUAAGUCAAAUAAAACGGUUUGAUUAUGUAUCAUGACAUGAUCUUCUUCUCUAUACAAAGAAGGAAUGGCACGUUUCAAACUUAAAAGGAGAUAACUCCUUACCUAAUUGAAAAGUCAAAAUCAAUUGGCAGUUAUGCAUAGAAUAUUGGUAAUAAAACAAAACGUUAUGUAUAUAAUAUUGGUAAUAAAAUAAAACAUAAAUAUAUUUAAAUAUUUAAAUAAAAACAUAUUUACUCAACAAUCCCCCACUUGUUUUUGUUUAAAACUAUACAUCAAGCAAUAUAUCGUAAAGCUAUACAGAAGUAAAUGUGUUUCUCAACUUAAAUCUAUACAUAGUGUUAGUGAUCGAGAUUAUACUAGAGUAACUUAUAGUUUUGAACUCUAUCCCUAACAACACCACACACACAACUUUAUUAAGGUGAAGUUCAAAAAGCCAGCACAUUACAACCAUGUGCUUGUAUCCCAGUAUAGUGAACGCUCUAGAAACUUGCUCAAGAUUUCAUAGGAAGCGGCAUCACUUCCACAUUCACAUAGUUAAGACUAUCAAGGUAUUCCUGUAGCUAGAUAUCUCACUUAACAUAGAGUAUAGACCUUACUAAGAGAAAAAAAAAUCUCAACCUAAAUACGCUUCAGGAUGUCAUGCUUCUUAGGGAUGGACAUGGAAUAAUAUUCCAAACUAAAAUUAGCAAGACUUCACUCUUAUCACUUGUGACUUGUUAUUACCCUUUGAACCUAUUUCUUGGGAUCUCUAGUCUAUAGGUUGGGUUGCUAUCACAAAUAACUCAAUUCUCUAGGGCUUUAGUCCCAUCCCUUUCGAGGUUUUCCAAACCUUUUCUCGUGCUAGUCCUUUUGUCAAAGGAUCAACCAAGUUUUCUUCAUACCGUAUAUGAUCCACUCUCACAGCUCCAUUAGACAGGUAAUCUCUUACAGUGAUGUGCUUACGACGUAUUUGUCGCCCUUUCCCAUUAUAAUAAUGAUUUUGCACUUUAGCUAUUGCCGAUGUGCUAUCACAAUGGAUCAAAACUGCUGGAAUCGGUUUCUCCCAUAAAGAGGUAUCUGACAGUAGGUUUCUCAACCAUCCUGCUUCUUCGCUUGUCGUAGCUAGCGCUAUUAAUUCUGACUCCAUAGUGGACUGAGCCAUGAUAGUAUGUUUCUUAGACUUCCAUGAUACAACCCCACCACCAAGACUAAAAAUACAUCCACUAGUGGCUUUAGAGUCAUCUGAAAGGGUAUUCCAAUCAGCGGCACUGCAACCUUCUAGGACAGCGGGAAACUUCUCAUAGUGUAAUCUAAAAUUCAUUGUCCUUUUAAGGUAUCUCAUAAGCCUAUCUAUGGCAUGCCAAUGCUCCAAACUAGGUCUACUAGUAAACCUGCAUCAAACUCCUACGACAUAAGAUAUAUCAGGCCUAGUGCAAUCAGUAGCAUAACGAAUGCUACCAAUAAUACUCGCAUACUCAGAUUGUUUAACACUGUCACCAAUGUUCUUGAACAAUUUUACACUAGGAUCAUGAGGAGUACAUGCUGGUUUACAAUCAAAAUAAUUAUACUUUCUUAAAAUUGUUUCUAUGUAGUGAGAUUGAUCUAAAGAAAACCCAUGUUCAAACCUAGUUAUUUUCAAACCAAGUAUUACGCUAACUUCACCCAAGUCUUUCAUAUCAAAAUUAGCAGAUAACAAAGAUUUGACAUUAUUCACAACAUGAAUAUUCGAACCAAAAAUAAGCAAAUCAUCCACAUAUAGGCAUAUAUUACUUUCAGACUUAUAAUAGAUGCAUUUGUCACUUUCAUUUAUUUUAAAACCAUUUGAAGUAACCAAACUAUCAAAUUUUGCAUGCCAUUGUGUGGGAGCCUGUUUCAAUCCAUAAAGUGACUUAUUUAACUUGCAAACUUUAUUUUCUUUUCUUGGAAUAAUAAAACCUGUGGUUGACCCAUAUAUAUUUCUUCCUCUAAUUUACCAUUUAAGAAAGCUGUUUAACAUCCAUUUGGUGCACAACAAGAUCAUGAAUAUAAGUUAAGGCAAACAAUACACGAAUAGAUGUUAUUCUAGUCACAGGUGAACAAAUAUAAAAGAAAUCAAUCUUUUCUCUUUGUCUAUAGCCUUUGGCAAUAAGUCGGGCUUUAAAAUUUUCAACUGAUCCAUCAGGUUUUAAAUUUUUUUUAAGAAUCUAUUUGCAACCUAUUGUUUUGCAACCAGGUGGAAGAUCCACCAAGUGCCAAGUUUGAUUUGACUCCAGGGAGUCCAUUUCAUCAUUUAUAACUUCUUGCCAAAAAAUUGCAUCUAAAGAAGUUAAAGCUUCUUGAAUUGUAUUAGGAUCUUCUUGUAAGUUAUAUACAUGGAAAUCAGGGCCAAAAUCUUUAGCUAUUCGAGCUCUUUUACUUUUCCUAGGUUCUAAUGCAGAUUGACUAUGUUUUACAACAUUAGGUUCAUAAAUUUUAGAAGAAUUAGAACCCCCACUAUUUUGAAGAUUAAAAGGAAAUUUAUUCUCAUAAAAAUCAGCAUCAAGUGACUCAAUUAUGACAUGGUUUUUCAAAUCAUAACAUCUAUAUGCUUUGCUAUUACAUGCAUAACCAAUAAAAACACAUUCAUAUGCUCUACUAGCCAAUUUCGAUCUUUUUGGACCAAGUUUACGAACAUAAGCUAAACAACCCCAAGUUUUGAAAUACAAUACAUUUGUUUUCUUAUUUUUCCAAAUUUCAUAAGGAGAGAUAUUCGAUUCUGAGGUAGGAAUUCUAUUUAAUACAUAACAUAUAGUCAACACAAUUUCACCCCACCAAUAAGAAGCAGCUCCAGAACUAAGUAGCAACACUCAAUUCGCAAAGAGUUCGAUUUUUUCUUUCCGCUUUACCAUUCAUUUCAGGAGAAUAAGGAGCAGUAGUUUCAUGAAUAAUUCCAUUAGACUUAAACAAAUUAACAAAUUCAAUGGAUUCAUAUUCUUGUCAUCUAUCACUACGAAAUCUUUUAAUCUUAUGAUUAAACUGAUUUUCAACUUCAGUAAAGAAAGUUUUGAACAUGUCAAUAGCUUUACUUUUAUUUUUCAUAAGAUAGACAAAACAGUAAUUCAAACAAUCAUCAAUAAAGGUAAUAAAAUAACGUUUUCCAUUUCUAGUUAACACUCUAUCAAAUUCGCAUAUAUCAGAAUGAAUUAAGUCAAGUGGUUCAGAUUCUCUAUUGACAGAUUUAUGUGAAGUUCUAGUGAUUUUAGCUUGACUACAAUAUUCACAUUUUUCAAAAUCAGUCAACGAUAAGUUAGGUAAAAAGCCUAAGUUACUCAUGUUCUUAACCAAGAGUUUGUUAACAUGACAAAGUCUAGCAUGCCAAGUAUUAAAAGAAGACAACAUGUAAUCAGAAGUAGACAUUUUAUCAACAUUCAAUUUAAACAUUCCAUUAGUAGCAUAUCCCUUUCCCACAAAAACCCCAUUUCUAGUAAGAGUAUACGUAUUUGCUCCAAACGUUUGAGUGAAUCCAGCCUUGUUGAGAAGUAAGCCUGAGACCAAAUUCUUCCUUAUUGUUGGAGCAUGCAUCACAUCUUUCAGUAUCAUGGGUUUUCCAGAGGUGAACUUUAACUCCACCUCUCCAGUACCAGCAACAUCAGUUGAGUGCGAAUCACCCAACAACACAUUUCUUCCCUCAGCCAUAGAAUAGGUCUUGAAAAGAGAACGAUCGUAGCAAGCAUGGGGAGAAGUGCCAGUGUCCACCCACCACCCACCACCCCUCGGACUAAGUUGAUUUCUGAUAUCAUUGCAAUUAGUUGCUCUUCAACAAGAUUUGUUUGAGAAGCAAAGUUUUCCUUAUAAUGCAUGGCAGAUUGAAUUCAUCUUAAAAUUGUUGUAAACUGAAAUAGAAAGGAACGAAAUUACUCAAAAAAAAUGUAGAAGCCUUGAGUGGUGAAUGAUUCUUGGGAUGAGUCAGGGACUAAGUCACUUUCUUUAAAACAUUUUGCGGCUUUGCCCAAAGUGUGCAAGCAGUUCACAAACACCACGUCGUCCCCAGGAUAUAACAUCCCAAAACCUUCUUCUUCUGAUGAAGUUCUUCCUUGCACAGUGGAAGAACCUUCGAACUCACACUCUCUCUCAAUAUGUUGCUAACCAAAACUAUAUAUCAGAAAAUAUAUCUAUUUUUGUUCCGCAUACUUUCACUACUAAAUAUACAUUUAGACGAAAAAGACGUUGAGAGUUUGAGAAAAUUGAAAGCAGGAAUAAAACGGUCUUAGGUCCGAUUCUCGCCGAAGGCGAAUUUGAACCACUAAACCGUAGCACUAAGUGGCUCCUAACAAUGUCUCUUAACAAGUUUAGAGGUAUUUGUCUUCACUAAUAAAUGAAAAGCGUUUGAAUUUCAUGAAUGACAAGUGCAAUACAAAAUUCAAAUUAUCAUGGUUCUUCCAUUAUAUGAUUUAACCAAAGCAUACCAUCUCUUAGUGUAAAUAUAUCAUUGAACUAUCAUUGAAGUAGUUCCAACAUUCGUAUACCAUCUUAAUUAUCAAUUUACUAUUACAAAAUUUCUAUUAAUUUUUCUUUACAAACUAAAGUGUUAUUAGGCUAAGUUGUUAAAUAUUAGGAGAUGAGUAGGGAUCGACCCACCGCCAAAGUACAUAUAUAGGUAUUACUGUUUUCUGCUACUAUGAUAAAGUGUAAUAUACUUCUAUAUAUUAAAAGAAAAUUCACUGAUACAUUUCCACAUGUAAACAUUCAACAUUGGACAUAUAUAAUAUUUUUCCCUACUUCUUUGGAAAUUUAAUUUUCCAAUGCAAUAGGCAAAUAGGGAAACAAAGACAAUCCCAACUGGGAAAGCAAUGAGAACAAGAGCCACAAGGCCUAAACAAUCAUGGUGGAAACCAUAAUAAUCUUGUAGGAUUAUUUUCUAUUUAAAAAACGUAUGUGAACAUACACAUUAUUUUCUAUUAUAAUAUGUGUAAGUUUAUGAAGGGAAAUAUUCACUAAAAUGAUCAAAAAUCAAAUUCUGAUGCCAAAACAAAAUCAAAUAUUGUCAUACUGAAAAACUAAUCAUUUCAACAAAUGAGAUUCAAAUAUUUGAUUAUUUUGGCCAAUUUUCCUGUAUUGAUACCCUAACCUAAAGUAUAAAUUACUUGCACAUCCAAAUUAUAACACAUGAAUUAACAACACUCCGUCAAUUAGACUUGUGUUACAUGUAUUUACACGGUUAUUGUCAUUCCAAGUGCUCAAAUGCUAAUGGAGUUACACAAAACCAUCAAAUAUUAGAAAAGAUUGGAUUCAAGAUAUACUAAGUAUAAUGUACAGAAUGUUGCAUAUAAAGUACCAGAAAACUUUAGUAGGUGACCAAGAGAACCCUAUUGCAGGAUAUGCAACGGCUACAUACAAAACUUGUAACAUUGUAUAAUGUAUUUUAAUGGCAACAUGCAACAUUUAACACUUUACACUAUAUUUGGAUGAGGAAGUUUAAGAUUGCUAAGGAAAUUUAAAGUAACGGAAAUUGAAAUGAUGGAAUUUUAUUUUAUAGAAUAUGUGAAUUUUCUUGUUUGGUUGAGGAAAAUAAACUUGGAAUUUAGAUAAAAGUCAGAAUUUGUAAAUUGACAUGCACCAGUUUCCUUGUUUGGAUUCAUAAACAUAUAUAGGAAUUUAGAAUUUUCGGGUGAAAAAAAAACUUGGAAUUUGGGACCUCCAAUUCCCAAGUUUAAAUUCCAUGUAAAUAUGUAUCAUUUCCCAAUUUCUAUGAUUGAGUGCUUAAAAAUAACAAAUUCCGUAAUCAAUUCCAUUUAUUUUUAGGUUAACCAAACAAGAGAAUUCACAAAUUCUAGAAAAUAAAAUCCUGUCAAUUCAAUUUCCGUCAUUUUAAAAUUCCUUAGUAAUCUUAAAUUUCUUCAUCCAAACAUAGUGUUAAGAACAAUGGAAUUUGAAAUGAAAUUUGUUAUUUUAAACCCUCAUUCAUGAAAAUUCAGAAAUGACACCAAUUUACAUAGAAUUUAAAAUGGGAAUUAGAUGUCCCAAAUUCCAAGUUUUUUUCUCAUGCAGAAAUUCUAAAUUUCUAUGUUUAUGAAUCCAAACAAGAGAAUUGGUACAUGUUAAUUUUUAAAUUCCAGCUUUUAUCAAAAUUCCAAGUUUAUUUCCCUCAUCCAAACAUAGUGUUAGUUUAAAACUGUGAAGAUUUUGAUUUAUCGAUUACAAACUAAAUAAGUACUUGAAUUCUUAGGCACUUCAACGUAUGAACUUGUGCAAAUGAACAAGGUCGGCCCUGAGAUUUUGAAGGCCCGAGCUAAGCUACCAAAUAGGAGCCCUUUAAUUCUUAGGCACUCCAAUUGGUUGUAGGUUCAUAUACAUUUUAUUUUUAUAGUAAAUACUCAUUAAUUUAUUAUUAUAUCGUACUCUUAUUUAAUUAAUAAUCAACAAUAUGCUAAAGUUUUAAGAAGGUGUUUGGACCCAAAAUUACAUCAUCGGCCCGUGCAAUCAAGGCCGUUGAGUAGGCAUAGCUCUCAAUCGUCGGAUAAAAAAGCAGAGAUAAUUUUGUUAUUAAAGGAUAAUAUUAUGGUUUUUAUCAUAAUUAUCUUUUAAUGAUUUAUCUCGACAUCUUCUUAUGAAAGAGGGAAAAUAUAUCUCCAAGCUGGAAACACGCAGCACAAUUCAAAGCGAUUUGGAUGUUUGGCGUGUGGAUGUGGUUUGGAUCGGUUUUAGUUGACAAAUAUGCAUGCAUGUGAUAAGGGUGAAGUAAAAAUGGUGAUAUGCUUUGAAAAUGAGUCUACAUGUGUUGGUGAUAAGAUGGCAGCAACUGCCUUGCUGACAAUUAACAUUGGGUAUUUUAUGCUAAAUCAUGCAUAUUGGUAUAUGCUUUUGUAUUGUGGGCCAGCAUAUGUUUUUUUUUUAUGGAGCCAAAUUCAUUUAACAAUGGAUAUUUGGAACAAUAAGAAGUUUAAGUAGGCAUAGGCCUUUGAGAGUUUGAGUUUCAGUUGGUUUCUACGAAAUCAUCAAGGCCACGCCAAGCGGGAUCAUGCAUAUUUGAAAGAGAAUAUUCCUAUUAUUUUGCAACUUACGACGGCAAUCUUACGGUUAUAGAGGCAAUGACAACAUAAAGGUGGUAUUUCGAAUUCAACACACAAACUGCCAUGCACAAACUCUUGCUCUACGCGAAACCUCUUAACAACCUUGAGAUUUUUAUUUUCCUUUUUCGCCAACACAUCUUCAGUUUGGAUAAAUAGCACUAUGAAGGCAACCGGUGAACAUCUUCACUUUGGAUAAACAAUACUAUAACCGUAGAACCAUUCGACCAUGAAGCACCUUUAGUUUGGAUAAACAACAUUGCUCCGAGACCGAUUGAUUACCUAUCCAAGUCUCGGUCAAGAAGAAUUUUCAAGUCCUUACUAGUAGAGAUCAUCUCAUCAGCCUUCUCGACGAAGUGAGGUGUUACCAGGUUACUACAUUCGGCACCCUGAGAGCCCAAUUUGAUAUUGAACUUCGUAGAACUAAUAGCCUUGUCUUCAGGUUCUAGAACCUGAAGGUCGAGACGUGUUCAUUUCUCGACCGCAGUCGUGAGAUUCAGAAGUCAAUAGUGCGCCCAAUGCAACAUCAACUCAUUUUACUUACCGGUCAAGCUCGACCGUCGAGUUGGCAUGCCCCACACACAACCGAAGGACAUAGUUAGCUUUUUAAUUACUCGGCUUGUGCGCCACGUAUACUUGAUAGUUUUUAAGAUCAACAGAAGGUAAAGAGCAAUAAAAACUGAUUAACGAAUUUAACAAAUUUAAUAGCGCCAAUUGAUCCUCUUGUAUUCUUCUUGAAAUCAAUUUCACAAUAACGAAUAUUAGAAUCAUGAGAUGAUUGAUAAUAAAUUAUUGAAACAGAGAAGAUAUAGCAAAUAAGAUAAGGUAGCUGGCAUUUGAUAGCGAUUUUGCUUGUAAAACUACACUUUUUGUCCAUCCAGAAGAAACCCAUUCUUCUGUUACAUGGCUUAACCGUGACCACACAAAACAGGAGAGCACGGGAAGGGCACCAGAAGUGGAGGGCAAACAAUCCUUGUCCGUGCUUUGUCCAUCGAGAAUAAGAAAUUGUAGGGACUAGGGGCCCAUUGCUCUUUUGAGAUGCAAGUUAAGGGACCUAACAAAGGGAAGUAAAAAGCAUUGGUAGGACAAAACAAGCCGUUUUAGGAAAACAACUUGGGGGAAGAUUCUCUCAUUUCCUAAUCUCUCUCCCAUUUUCUCUCCUUCUAUUUGAACGGUUACGGUUUAGCUACGUCAAUAUCUUAUAUAUAUAUUUUUAGAGACGAUAAGACAAAAAAUAAUAUGUGGGAGAAGGGAAAAGAAGGGGAUGAGAAUAGGAGGGGAGAUAAUUCUCUUCCAAACAACUUGCCUAUACAAUUCGGAUUCUAAGACGGUGGUAUCCCAAACGAAUCUCAUCCGACUAUGUGUUUAAACAUUGCACAUGACACCACGUGAUUGUUAAAACAUUGUCACCGUAGUGUAUUGUACAUAUACAUGAUUGUUUUGAAGUAACAUCAUCAUUGUGACAUAUUCAUGACGUAUGCUUAUCUCGCCGACUAGAGUUUCAGAUUCCUAACCAGGCGGGCAUAAACGUGCUUACAGCCUAAAAGGCCUUAACCUCAUAGAUCUGAAAACACAUUUCUGUCGGAGAAAUUGUCAAGAAUAAGAUACGAACUAGAGUUUACUCCGGGCAAGAUACCUGAGAUUUUUAGCCGUUAAAGUCAUUGAAUUCUUGACCAAUGAUCUAACAGCUAAGUUCACAUUGUAUAACCGAGGCACACUACAGAACGUAGAAAAAAAUAAUGGGGAUUAAAACGCUUCAUUGGGUAGAGGGAUAAGUGACAAAACAAUGAGAAAAAACACAUCAAUUGUAUUAGAAAUGCAACUUGCCAAUGUGCACAACAACAAAUGAACAUAGUUGCUACUCCACCGCAAAACCACCUCUGUGUCUGUCAAAUCUUAUUAAUCUCUGCGAGCAGAGGUAGCAAAACAACCUUGAAAAAAAACCCCCCACAACUUUCCAUAUGUUUUUUUUGACACCCCCGUUAACCCCUCAUAAUCAUAAACUACUAAUGACACAUUCUUCAAAGAACACGAAAAUAUAAAAAUACUAAUAAAAGAAAACCCAAAUGGCGCAAUGCCUGUAUAGAGAGAGAGAGAGAGAGCGAGAGCAGCAGAGGCUUAAUUCAAUUCAAUGUUUUGAUUCGAAGGGGUGAAGACUGAAGAGCCGCCAUUAAAGCUUUAAGCUUGGGGCUUGUCCCACUUGAGUGGCUUGACAACCUCCCAGGUGAAGUCGGGGUCAUCCCUCCCGAAGUGUCCGUAGGCGGCGGUCUUCAAAAACCUUCCAUUGCCACCCCUCUUGAG
This 51531-nucleotide long non-coding RNA is filed under the name Malus domestica (apple). Its description in RNAcentral is "long non-coding RNA (MDOM_LNC011918)". The record is from RNAcentral. Lineage: Eukaryota; Viridiplantae; Streptophyta; Magnoliopsida; Rosales; Rosaceae.